GUAGCUUAAGGGUCUAACUCUUCUCUUUUGGUAGGUAGGGUUUAUUUGUUGUAUAUUCGUGCCUAAUUUAUUUAUGUUUUCGUUUUAGUUUCAUCUUCACAAUUGGAAGUCCCAACUAAUAAGGUCCAGGGCGGCUCUUCAUUGUUUUAUUAUUAUUUUUUUUUAGUUAUCUUAAUUAAUUAGAUUUGCUAAUUAAUUCGGUUUCUAGCUCUAUGGCUUAUGAUCUUGAAGCCAAAGCUACCGCCACCAGUAGUAGUGACCAUCACGUCAGAAGGGAAAAGAGUUCGUCCGGUGGAUCAGCAACAGCCUCGCGGAUCAGCAAGAAAAAAAAUCGAGAAGAAGAAGAAGAAGAAGGAGAAAAGGUCAAAAAGGCAGUAACGGAAAAGGUAUUGACGGAUAUAUUAAAGUCAUUAUGGAAGACUCCUGUGGAUUUAAUCUACGCCAAAUUAGAGUUGGAGUUAAUGCGGGGUGAAAACGGGAAAUUGAAACGGGAAAAUCAAAGACUUUUAAGUGAGCUUGAAGCAGCAUCAGGAAACGAGAAUAUAAAUAAGAGAAAAAAAACAAAGAUGGGAUCAUUAGCGGGCUAAGUUAUGUGCUUCAAGCCGCUAAUAUUAUUAAUUAAUGCAGUGGAUUAUGGAAUUAGUUUCGGUUUCUUGUUUGCUUCUUUCGAAUUAAAGUUUGUUUCUGGCUAGAUAUUUCAAUUGAACUUUCCAAUUCAUUUAAUUGUGAUCUUUAUUUACUUAUUUACUUUUAAUUUUUUUCGUCUCUCAUUUGUAUAAACUACGUACGCCUAAUACAAUAUGCCCCAAAAAGGUUUAAGUGCAUUGACGAUCCUUUGAACAAAUAUUUUAUAGUUGAGUAAGAGUAAGGCCGACUACUCCACCCUGUUAGCUAAUAGGCUUUGAUUUCUAACUUUAAUUGUUCUAUUGCAUUAGCCACAUGCGACCUUUUUCGGCCCACCCACAGCUGCAUUUUAGACCUUUUCGAUUUUCAUUGAGAAGAAAAAUCAUCUUUUAUAAUUUAUAUCCAACCAUUUUGAAACACAAUUUAGAAUCUCUUACAUCUUUAUCGUAACAAAAUUUGCUCCUCUUAGAGAAUUCAUAAAAAUAUUAACAACCAAUAAUUUUAAAAAUAAAAGGGGUUAACUACACCUGGGUGACACAUAUUUUGAUAAAUUUCAAAAUUGUGAUACAUAUUUUAAAAAUGUUGGAUCAUGUGACAAUUUAUUAAUUUUUAUUAACGGACUAAGGGUGAAAUUAUAAAAAUAGAUUUAUUUUAUUUAUUUACUUUUUUUUUGUUAAUUACAUUUAGGUGACACAUGUCUUAACAAAUUUUAAAAUGGUGGCACAUGUCUUAAAAAUAUUCCAUUGCCGUUAAUUCUAACUAACCAAGAGUAAAAUUGGAAAAAUGUAUUUAUUUUAUUUAUUUACUUUUUUUUCAUUUUCCUCUCUCUCCGUCUUCCUUCAUCUUCUCUAGUUUUUUUUUCCCCUCUUUCUUUCUUUGUCUUCUUCAGUUCAUUUUUUUCCCCCUCCUUUUGUCCUUCUUUCUUUGUCUUCUUUAAUUUGUUUUUUUUUCCCCUCUUUUUCUCCUUCUGUCUUCGUCUUCUCUAGGCUUCAUCUCCUCCAUGGCCAAAGCACGAUAGCAGCUGCGAGUUCGUGGAGCCAAAGCAGCAGUUUGAUUCAAUAAGAAAAUAUUUUUUAAAAAGAUUUAAUUUGAUUUAACCAAUAAAUAUCCUUGUUAAUUAGAGUUAGAUUAUAUAUAUAUAUAUAUAUAUAUAAAUUAAAAAUAAGUGAGUAGGGACAAAAACAUCAUUUUUUAACUAAUUGUAGGGGCAAAAUAUUAUUUUAUAAUUAAUUGACUAAUUCUAGAGUUAUUGGUAAAAAUCAAUGGAUUGUCAUUUGAUCAAGUAUUAGUACUUUUAAAACAUGUAUCACUUUUUUUAAAUAUGUCAAAAUAAGCUUCAUCUGAUGAUAAUUAAUCCUAAAACAAAUCUAUUUUUUCAAUUUCACCCUUGGUUCGUUAGAAUUAGUAGUAAAACUUAACAGAUUGUUCCCUAAUCAAGUAUUUUUUAAGACACAUGUCACUAUUUUGUAAUUUAUCAAAACUUGUGUUGUCGAGAUAUAAUUAACCCAUAUAUAUAUAUAUAGAGAGAGAGUGUGUGUGUGUGUGUGUGGAUGGAGGUGCAUGGUGAGAGCUAUCGUAAAAAAUCAUCGACUUCUGCCUGUAGUUUGUACUUUUGUAGUUUUGACAUUAGAUAGAAAAUAAUAUUUCUUCUCUAAUUAUGUACAAACAUUCUAGGAAAUAAACCCUGCGGUGAUCUCAACACAUUAAUCAUUCCUAAAACAACAAUAUGAAAAGGACCAAAUUAAUCAAUCUAAGGCAUACCACUAAUCCGGACCAAGACCGACAUUAAUUGAAUUAGGACCGAGACCGACCACCAAAUCAAGGUAGGAAUAGGAAUAUGCAUGUCAUAAGGGCUAAGGCAAAUCCAAUCUCAUGGUGCGUGGGCUACGCGCCGGGACAAUUAUUUAAGAGCCACUUCUCUUAAGUUUUUAACAAACAGCAGUAGCCUAAGGGUAUAAUUCUUCUCUCUCGGUAGGGUUUAUUUGUUGUAUAUUCGUGCCCAAUUUAUUUCUGUUUUGGUUUUAGCUUCAUCUUCCCAAGUGAAGUCCCAACUAAUAAGGUCUAGGGCGGCGCUUCAUUGUUUUAUUGUUAUUAUUGUUUUAAUUAUCUUAAUUAACUAUCUUUGUUAAUUAAUUCGGUUUCUAGCUCUAUGGCUUAUGAUCUUGAAGCCAAAGCUACCGCCACCAGCAGCAGUGAUCAUCAUGUCAGAAGGGAAAAGAGUUCGUCCGGUGCAUCAGCAACAGCCUCGCGGAUCAGCAAGAAAAAAAAUCGAGAAGAAGAAGAAAAGGCAGAAAAGGUUUGGAGGAAUAUGUUACAAAUAUUAUGGAAGACUCCUGAAGAUGCAAUCAACGGUAAAUUUGAAUUGGAGUUGAAGCGGGUUGAAAACGAGAAACUGAAACGGGAAAAUCAAAGACUUUUAAGGGAGCUCGAAGCAGCAUCAAUAGAAAACGAGAACAUAAAUAAGAGAAAAAAAAAAAACAAAGGUGGGAUCAUUAGCGAACUAAGUUAGGUGCUUCAAGCCGCUAAUAUUAUUAAUUAAUGCAGUGGAUUAUGGAAUUAGUUUCAAUUUCUUGCAUGCUUCUUUUGAAUUAAAGUGUGUUUCUGGCUAGAUAUUUCAAUUGAACUUUCUAGAAUUAGUUUCAAUUUCUUGCAUGCUUCUUUUGAAUUAAAGUGUGUUUCUGGCUAGAUAUUUCAAUUGAACUUUCUGGAAUUAGUUUCAUUUUCUUGCAUGCUUCUUUUGAAUUAAAGUUUGUUUCUGGCUAGAUAUUUCUAUUGAACUUUCCAAUUCAUAUAAUUUUGAUCUUUAUUUAUUUAUUUAUUUUUAAUUAUCCUGUGUCUUAUCUGUAUAAACUACGCCGGAUAUAAUAUGCCUCAAAAACGUUUUAAUUGCAUCAUGGGGCGGUGAAGCUGAGCCAUGAAGUGGGGAAAAGACUUCUUGAAUUGCGGCCAGAACAUUGUAGGCGAUAUGUGGUGCUAUCAAACUUCCAUACUGGAGUGGAGAGAUGGUCAGCUGAGGAUGUAGACACUUUAAUGUCACAGAUGCAUGAUCCCUCAUUCAUGCUUGCUAGCAAUCCCUCAAUUCCGCCAAAACAAAGAUAAAUUCUAAGGAUUGCUACCCAAAUUCUUUUAGCUGAAUUUUCAGUACAUAAAUGUUUGUUGUUCAUAUGUAUUCUAAAACUGACUGAUUUGUAUUCCGGUAUAUACGUAAUUGUCAUGUGUUAUGAAAUUAUAUAAUUUAAUUAUCUGAAAUUAGCAACUCCAAAUUAUUUAAUACAUUGACAAAAUAAUAUAAAUCAUUAUAAUUUCACCCAUACAUACAACUCUUUUUUUUUUAAGCAUAAAAAUCUGUUCAAGAUAUUGUGCAUUCACUAAUAUCUUGGAGAAACAAAGAUUUUACACUAAACAAGUGGUUGGAAGAAAAACAAAACGUGCAAUAGUAUCUACGAAGCAGAUCUGGGUACACUACAGAUAAAAACUAGAGGACACAUAAUUUUAUUUGUUGCAGCCACAUUCAGAAAGCCUCUGGAACAUCCGAUUGAAUUCCCAAUUAUGAAGUUACUGAAGGAUCAAUUGUAUCUGAUGAUUAAAUUCCUCACGUUAUUGAACCACUCUGAUACCAGAGAAGCCAUGUUAGCCGGCAGAGGUCUUUAUUUUCCAUAAGCUAGGAUCUAAAUGGGAUUCUGUUUUUUCGUCACACUUAUUUCUUACUUUGUCAUAAACAAUGCGGGAUUAUAAAUAAUUUAUGAACGAUCACAAUAAUGCAUGUUUCAGGUUUCCAACUUUUCUUUCCCCACACGUUAUCUCAUGAACCAAACAGAAUCAAGACGAGGGUAUGUAAUUUUUACAUUAAAAAAAAAUUUUUACAGAAUCGUUUCAUGAGAAUGAAGAGCGUGAAUCCAGUAGGCCACCGACCCCAUACCAUGAGCUGAAAAGACGGUCUCCCUUGUCUGAUUUGGAAAACUGAAAGCUUCUAUAAGGAGUAGCUUAAUGAAACAAUGCUCACUGAAUGAGCAUAAUUUAUAUAAUAGGUAAAACUGAGCAGAUUUCAAGUAAAAUACUAUAUAAAGAUUGAUGGACACAAAAUUUUCAGCAGAAAACAGAACAGAGAACAUAAAUUGGCAAGAACAAAUAGGAAUUUGAGUUCAUUUCCAGGAGUAUCGGUCAGAUUAUUCGUGGCAAUGUUAAAUCAUUAGGAACAUUGCCAUGCCAAAAUUCAUCAUUCUCAUGAAAAGAAACAUAAACCUCCAAUACAGCCCUAUACACAUUCUGAGAAAUCAUAAACUCCCUCACCCCAAUAUCUCUCGAAUUCUCAAUCUCAAACGAGAUUCCAUCACUCAAUGGCAAAAUUUCACCAAAUGGGCAAGAUCGAAUCAGCCUUGGACCCGUAUCCAGAUAUCAAAACAUUAGAACCGUUCCCGUGAUCAUUAAUAUCGACAUCAACAGGGUAAAACUGCAGAGUUGUAUCCAUUGAUACGCACCAGUAUAAGUAAUAUCAAUAAGAUUGCUAGGAUAAACAACUAAAGUUUUUAGCCUCAUUUUUAACAAGCAAAGAAUAAUGCCUCGUUAAAUCCUUCUUAACACUCCAAACAAUACUUAGAUCAAAAUCAUUCAGACAAACAUCACAGAAAACGUUCAUUGGAGCCCACGACAAACAUACAAGUUCAAAAACAUCACAGAAAACAUUCACUGGAGCCCAUGACAAACACACCAGUUCUAUAAAUGCCAGUGUACAACCAGGCCAUUUAAACCGAAAAGACAAAAUGUCACUAAACCCAAAAAAAAAAAAAAAAAAAAAAAAAGCAGAGCCAGACAGUUUUCAAGCUUGAUCAUCUUGCUGCCUCUUAUCAUAACCAGCCUUAAAAGCCAAAAGCUUAGUUUCCAGCAACUAGUUUGUCUUCCCUUCCCUUAGCGUAACCGUGCUCGAACCCGGAACUUGACAUUUCUUCCAUUGCUUAAGGUGUUGCUUGAAAACUGUUAAAAAGCCCACUUAAGGUGAAGAAGAAGGAAAAACAAACUCAAGCUUAUACAGAGCAACAAUGCCACGUCAGCAUUUCAUGGUAUCAAAGCUAGAAAUGGCCAGCUCAAGCACUACAAUUUCGAAUCAAUCAGUUCUCAAUCCAAAUCAAUCUUCUCAAAUAUCAUUUGCCUUUGUUCCAACUGUAAAGCUUGAUCACUCUAAUUUUCUUCCAUGGCGAAAACAAGUCUUAACGUCUAUCAGAGGAAAUCGUCUUGGAAGCUUCAUCUCAGAACCACAGAUUAUUCCAUAUCAAUAUCUUUCUAAUUCAGGAGUUGAUGGAUCUAUUGAAAAGGUUGAAAAUCCGGCAUACAUUAAUUGGCAAGCACAAGAUCAAACUCUCCUUGGAUGGCUGCUUUCUAUAAUUAGCAAAGGUAUAUUAAGUUCAGUUAUGAACUAUGAUACUUCCUUUAAUGAUUGGCCAUCUAUUGUGAAGCAAUUUGGAGUCAAAUCUGAGGCCAAAAUAAUGCAACUUCGUUAUGAAAUGAAUAUCUUGAGGAAAGAAUCGAUGUCUGUUGAAGAGUAUUGUGCUAAAAUGAAAAUGCUUGCUAAUAAGCUUGCCUGUGCUGGUGAUAACAUAAUUGAAAAGGAUCUGUUGAUGCGGAUUUUGAAUGGAUUAGGUCCUGAUUUUCUAGAUUUGACCUCAAUUAUCACUACUAAUAAAAUGAGAUAUGAUGAUGCCUAUGCUUUGCUAUUAACACAUGAAGCAAGGCUUGAGCAAAAACCAAAGUGAUAAGACAAUGCUUAAUGCAAAUUAUAGUCAUAUGAAUGUCAAUUACAGUCAUGCUAGAGGUAACCUUAAAAGAGGUUCAUAUGGUAAUCCAUUUGGAAUCAAAGGACCUAGAGGCAUGUUCUUUAACUCAUAUCCUAGAGGUUUUCCAGCUAGAGGUGGUCAUUUUGGUGGUUUUAGUAGAGGACAAGCUAUGCAAUUCUAUAGGCCAUCACUUAUGAAAAGUAAUUCUUCCCAUUCUACUAUAGUACCUUCUAUGCAAUCUAAUAAGUUUGAUGAAUCAAUUUCCAUUUGUCAAAUAUGUCAUAAGCAAGGGCAUACAGCUGAUGCUUGUUGGCAUAGAUAUGAUGAUGCUCACCUGGUAUCAUUCAAUCAUUUUGAUAAGAGUAAGAUGAUGGGGCCUAGAGCUGCUUAUAUGACAAGUUAUGAGUCAUCCUCUAUUUAUAUGCAACUUGUUGAAGAUCAUUAUGCAACUCCUUAUUCAAGCUAUGACUUUAUGUACUAUCCAUCAGAAGCCAUUCAACUUGAAGCUUAUGUGGAAAAUUAUGAAGGAUCUACUGAUGAAUGGUAGACAGUGGUGCCACACAUCAUUUGACUAAUAACAUGGCCAACAUGAAUGUUAGAGAAGAAUUUAAAGGAUCAGAUUAACUGAUCAUUGGCAAUGGACAAGGUUUGCUCAUAACUCAUAUUGGUGAUGCUUGUUUUAGUUAUAAAGGAUGAAGUGCUGUAUAUAAUCACAUACAUAUAAUGCUUAAAGACAUUAUUAGUUCCUUCCAUCACAAAGAACUUGAUAAGUAUAUCCAAAUUAACAACUGACAAUAACCUUUUUGUUGAAUUUGUUGGUAAUGUCGGUUAUGUGAAGGAUUUACUGAAGAAACAAGUGCUACUACAAGGACUUGCUGAGAAAUGAUUGUACAAAUUGCUCUUAAAACCAUCCCAAUCAUUUGCUUCAUCUUUCUUAUGUCAAUCCACUUUUAUUAAACCACUAUCAAUGUUGUCUGCAUGUUAUUUCAAUUCUCAUGUUCAAACUGCUAGUCAAAAUAAUGUUCCCAAUUCUGUUUCUUCUUGUGAUACAUCAAUGAAUUCUCAUGUUUCCAAUGAGUCUCUGAAUAAUGUCACUCCCUGUAAUAAACAAAUCAAUAAAAUUGUUCUUUAUCAUAGGCGUUUUGGUCAUCCAAAUCAACAGAUAUUAAUGUAUUUACUUAAAAAUGUUCAUGACAUUAAUCUCUCAAGCAUGUCAGUAAACCAAGCACUUAAACAUAUUUAUGAGGCAUGUCAGACGGGUAAGAAUCAUAGAAUUCAUUUUCCAGCCAUAGAAACCAAAACCACAAAGAUCCAUGAACUAAUCCAUACAGAUCUAUAGGGUCCUUCACAUGUUCUUUCCAGAGAUGGUUUUACCUAUCAUCUAAGCUUUGUUGAUGAUUUCAGUAAGUAUACUUGGAUUUAUCCUUUAAAACUGAAAUAAGAGGCCUUAGAGGUUUUCAACUUGUUCAAAUUACAAGUUGAAAAUCAAUUUGAUACCAUUAUCAAAGCAUUGCAAUCUGAUUGAGGAGAAGAAUACAGAUCAUUCACUUCAUUCUUAAAUCAGAGUGGAAUCAUCUUUAGACAUUCUUGUCCUUAUACAUAUCAUCAAAAUGGAUUAGUGGAAAGAAAAUAUAGGCAUAUUAUUGAGUUAGGUGUCACCUUGUUAGCUCAAGCUAAACUUCCUUUCAAAUUUUAGUGGGAUGCCUUUCAUACAGUCGUGUAUCACAUUAACAGGUUACCUUAUGUAAUCUUACAAUUUCUUACCCCAUAUGAAAAGCUCUUCAAUUAUAAGCCUGAUUCUAGUAUGCUCAAGUAUUUUGGCUGCACAUGUUAUCAUUACUUAAGAGAUUAUAAUAAGCACAAGUUUGCUUAUCAUUCAAGUAAAUGCAUUUUUAUUGGUUUUAGUCCUUCACAUAAGUGAUAUAAAUGUCUACAUUCCUUAGGGCACAUCUAAAUAGUCAGGCAUGUAACAUUUUAUGAAAGUUCAUUUCCUUAUUCUACUAAUCCUAUUUUUACUUCAAAAGAGUUUGUUUCUUAUUCUAAUUUAUUUCUUACUGCCCAGCAAGUUUAUCAUUUAUCUACUCUACCUAUCACUUCAUCUAUUGAUAAUUGUAGCUCAUACAAUCCGGACUCUGCAAAUUCUUUAAGCAAUAGAUCUCAACAUUCAGAAAAUCCUCAUCAGAAUAACAGCUUACUUCUUUUACCACAACCAACUUCAACAAACACACACCUUUCUACUCAAACAACUUUAUCUCCACGUCAUAUUGAACCCUCUACUCAAUCGCCAUCACUUCAACCUAUUUCUCAACUUCCACUACAUAUAACCACACCACCAGUAACUAGGGAUGGUAGGGAAAUCCGGGUCUAGCCCUCAUCCGCAAGGAUCCGAAAAAUCUGGAUCUACAUUUUUAAAAAUACAGAUCUGGAUUUGAAAAACUCAAAUCCUCACAGAUCUGAAUGCAGAUCCCGAUGCACUUGCAUCUAGAAAUCAGAAUAUCCAAAUCCGGUUGUUAUUUUAAAUUAAAAUAUAUAUUAACUUAAAUUAAAAAAAUCUAAUCCCUAACUGUUUGGCUAUCAGUGUCGGUGUCUCUCGCUGGUCACUGCUUUGGUUCCCUCAUUCAACUUUCCCACACACACUCACCUCACCAGCAGCCGUAAGUCUCGCUUUUGACCGGUGGCCGACUCGCCGUCUUCCUUGCAGCUUGCUGGAGCUUCGCCUGAUCUGUCGUUGAAGCUCAUCUGAUCUGUUGUCGAAGCUCGCCUGGCUGUCCAAGGCUCCAAGCCGCGCGGAGCUUGUCGAAGGCUCGCUACCUUACUGUGACGCUGCUUGGCUUUUUGCUCCCUUAUUUCAAUUGCUUUUCUAUUUUUUCUAUUAAAUACAUGGCUUUUUCUGGUUAAUAAUUUGGUAUUGUGGUUGAUUAUUUAAUUGUAUUUAAUGAGUUUAAUUUAAUGUAAAUUUGUUUAAAUUUGAAAAUGUUGCUAGCUUAAUUUAAAUUUUUUUAUUAAUAACUUGGUAUUGCGGUUAAAUUGUUGAAUUUUUAAAUUGUUAAUUGUUGAUGUUAUAUGUUAUUUAUGUUAAAUUGUUAAUUGUUGGAUUGUAAUUAAAUUUUAUUCGAUAUUAUUAAUUUAAUUGUUAAAUUGUUAAAAUUUUAAAUUAUAUUUAUUUAACUUUAAGUUUUGUGGAUUCGGAUAUCCGGAAUAUCCGCCCGGAUCCAGUGUAAAUUUUACCUGCAUCUGGAUCCGCAAAAUAAAUUACGGAUCCGGAUAUGAAAAAGGCAAUCGGGAUCUGGAUCCAGAUUUUGCCAACCUUACCAGUAACCUGUCCUAAAACCAAUAAUCAUCACAUGACAACCAGAAGUAAGUAUGAUAUUUUCAAACCUAAACUAUACACUGCAACACUCAUUCAUAAAGAACCUGAUAUUGUAUCUGAAGCUUUACAAGAUCCUAAAUGAUAUGAAGCUAUGAAAGAAGAAUAUGCAGCCUUAAUGAAAAAUGACACAUGAUCUCUAGUACCAAGAGCAGCUAAUCAUCAUAUAGUUGACAACAAAUGGGUGUAUAGAGUGAAGUAUAACACUGAUGGUAGUGUGGCUAAGUAUAAAACUAGAUUAGUUGCCAAAGGAUUUCAACAGAUUGUAGGAGUCAACUAUUUUAAAACCUUUAGUCCAGUGGUCAAACCAGUAACUGUCAAAGUAGUUUUGUGCUUGGCAGUGAUGAAUGGAUAGUAUAUCAGGCAAGUUGAUGUUAACAAUGCUUUCUUUAAUUGUGAAUUAACAGAAGAGGUUUACAUGUCUCAACCAGAAGGUUUCAUUGAUAAAAAGAAACGUGACUUUAUGUGCAAACUACAUAAAUCUUUGUAUGGCCUUAAACAAGCUCUUAGAGUUUGGUAUGACAAGUUGAAAAGUUGUUUGCUUCAAUGGGGUUUUAUCACCACCACCUCUCAUACAUCUCUCUUCAUAAAACGAAACCAAGCCUCUGUAAUUCUUAUUUUGAUCUAUGUUGAUGGCAUCUUGAUUACUGGACAGAACAACAUUGAAUUGGAGGAAUUUAUAGCUAAGUUCAGCACAACAUUUGCUUUGAAAGAUCUUGGUGUAUUAUCAUAUUUUCUUGGUAUUGAAGUGUUAUAUGAUACAUGUUGUCUAUACUUAUCUCAGAAGAAGUACAUUAAGGAUUUGUUAACUAAAUUUGAAAUGCUUGAAUGUAAGGGUAUUGACACUCUAAUGAGUACAGGUUCAAAGUUACAGAAAACUGUACAAGGUGAGCAGGGCUAUUUUCUUGAAGAUCCUACACAUUACAGAAGUAUUGUUGGGGGAAUGCAGUACUUAGUCUUAACUAGACCUAAUAUUGCAUUUGCUGUCGACAAAUUAAACCAAUAUGUCUCUGGACUUACAUUGCGACACCUCAUGGCAUGCAAACGAGUAAUGAGAUACUUGAAAGCAACUCAAGACUAUGGCCUCAAGUUUGUUAGCAAUGGAGAAGUGAAACUCACAGGCUUUACUGAUGCUGAUUAGGCAUAUGAUUUGGAUGAUAGAAAGUCUAUUGGUGCUUAUUGUAUCUAUAUAGACGAUAAUCUGAUAUCUUGGUCAUCCAAGAAACAAUCUGUUAUCACUAGAUCAAGUGCAGAAAGUGAGUACAGGGCUUUAGCUUCAGACAAUGCAGAAAUAAGUUGGCUACAAUCAUUAUUUUCUGAACUGGGAGUAUGUUGUACAGAGAAGCCUACAAUUUAGUGUGAUAAUGUAAGUGCUACUGAAUUGGCCAGAAAUCCAGUCUACCACUCAAGGACAAAGCGCAUUGAAAUUGAUAUGCAUUUUAUCAGAAAUAAAGUAAUUGAAGGUGAAGUCAAUAUCUAUUAUAUUCCAAGUAAGGAACAAAUUGCUGACAUUAUGACUAAACCACUUUCAUUUAUUCAUUUCAAUUACCUAAGAACCAAACUCAAUGUACUUCCUUAUCCCUUGAGUUUGAGGGGGAUGUUAAAGUAGCUCAUUAUUCAGAACUUAAGGUGAAGAAGAAAGAAAAAAAAACUCAAGCUUAUACAGAGCAACAAUGCCACGUCAGUAAUGGUUGUUAAGAAGAAUGCCAAAUCAUAUUACAGCUCAACAUCAGUUUGUUAGAUCAUUAUUAACGUACAAUGCAUAUGUAACAAAAAUAUAGUUAGUUUAAUAAUUAGUUACAAAUUGUUAUUGAGCAUGAAUAAAUACAGAGCUGUAACAAUUGAUUGGUUAAUGAAUGAAAUGUUACGGAAUUAAUUAGAAAUAUUCUCUUUGAGAUUCUCUCAAGCCAAACAAAAGUUUCUUCAUUUCUUUCAAAAACCUCUCAAUAUUUCUUCUCUCCUCCCACCAUUUUUCUUCUCCAAUGUGUCAAGCUGCUUAAGGAGACUUUUGUUCUCCUCUUUGACUUCCGUUAACUUCUUCCUCUUUUGAUCUGCUUAGCAGUGCCUUUCAUAACCCCAUCUUCUGCCUUAUCUAGUGCCACCUCUAAGGAAGAAAAACUUCUUUUGACUUUCUCCAAAGCCUCUGCCAACUGCUUGUUGUCAGCCAUUGCUAUAUCAAAGUUUCCCUCUAGAGCUUCAUAGUAUACGAACACUUUCACAAUAUCACAAUUAAUUUGUUCAAUCAGGUCUUUAUCAUUAAAUGAUCUAUAAUAAUCUUUCAUGUUACUCCUCUUGUAGUCAGAUUUGUGAGCGGUGUCUACUCUGCUCCUUUUUAUUAUUUGGUAUCCAUCAAUUUCCGACUGGCAUUUGCGCUCCUGCAAUCUGCUAAAUCAUAUCCGAAAAAUGAAAAAUUAAAAGUAAUUCGCGGUCAGAGAUGACGAUUAAGGAGGUGAUAAUUAAACCACGAGAUCAUAAUUAAUGAGGCGAUAAUUUGAAUAAAAAUAAACAAAAUUUAUAUAGUGAUAUGAAGCUCAAUCAGUAUUGACUAACUCUAAACUGAAUAAAAAUUGAAUAUGUGAGGAGGAAAUUGAAAAAGAAAUCGACAGACUAAUAAAGGAAAACAACAACGAAACAAAAACAUGAAAAAUGAGAGCAUAUAAUCGGAAUCACCAAAGCAAAAACGGAAAGCGAAUAAAAAUGAAACAGAAACUUAGGAAACAAAAGGAAAUGAGGCUUACUCUGUGUUAGGUUUGUUACGAGUGAGCUCUUUUGGUCUUGUCAUGACCUCUUUCUUCGAAGAAACAGAUAACGAUUUAAGAGAGAAUUCAAAUGAAAUUUGUUAAACUAAAUUAUGAAAGGCCCAGAAUCCAUGAAAAAUAUAGGCCCAAUUAAAAUAUUGCACAUAAAAUAAUCUAGACUUAUUCUCUAUAAGAACGGUAAAGGUAUUUAAGAUUCUAACAAAAGUAUUUAAAUGCAAGAUAUGAAAAAACAUAAAAAAAUGUGAUUCAUAAAGGAAAAACCUAGGUCUAUUCUUUAUAAAGAAUGACCUAACUAUACAAAGAAUGACAUAGGUCCACUCUUUACAAAGAAUGAUCAACGUCCACUCUUUACAAAGAAUGACCAACGUCCACUCUUUACAAAGAAUGACCUAGGUCCACUCUUUAAAAAAAAUAUCUUAGGUUUACUCUUUAUAAAGAAUAACCUAGGUCCAAUCUUUACAAAGAAUUAAAUAAGUCCCCUAUUUACAAAGAAUGACAUAGGUGCAUUUUUUACAAAGAAUGAAUAAGGUCCACUCUUUACAAAGAACAACCAAGGUCCACUCUUUACAAAGAACGACCAAAGUCCACUCUUUACAAAGAACGACCAAGGUCCACUCUUUACAAAAAAUGACCAAGGUCCACUCUUUACAAAAAAUGACCAAUGUCCACUCUUUACAAAAAAUGACCAAGAUCCUCUCUUUAUAAAAAAUGAAUAAGAUCCUCUUUUUAUGAGGAACAAAUUGCUGACAUUAUGACUAAACCACUUUCAUUUAUUCAUUUCAAUUACCUAAGAACCAAACUCAAUGUACUUCCUUAUCCCUUGAGUUUGAGGGGGAUGUUAAAGUAGCUCAUUAUUCAGAACUUAAGGUAAAGAAGAAAAAAAAACAAACUCAAGCUUAUACAGAGCAACAAUGUCACGUCAGCAAUGGUUAUUAAGAAGAAUGUCAAAUCAUAUUACAGCUCAGCAUAAGUUUGUUAGAUCAUUAUUAACGUACAAUGCAUAUUUAACAAAAAUAUAGUUAGUUUAAUUGUUAGUUACAAAUUGUUAUUGAGCAUGAAUAAAUACAGAGCUGUAACAAUUGAUUGGUUAAUGAAUGAAAUGUUAUGGAAUUAAUUAGAAAUAUUCUCUUUGAGAUUCUCUCAAGCCAAACAAAAGUUUCUUCAUUUCUUUCAAAAACCGCUCAAUAUUUCUUCUCUCCUCCCACCAUUUUUCUUCUCCAGUGUGUCAAGCUGCUUAAUGAGACUUUUGUUCUCCUCUUUGACUUCCGUUAACUUCUUCCUCUUUUGAUCUGUUUAGCAGUGCCUUUCAUAACCCCAUCUUCUGCCUUAUCUAGUGCCACCUCUAAGGAAGAAAAACUUCUUUUGACUUUCUCCAAAGCCUCUUACAACUGCUUGUUGUCAGCCAUUGCUAUAUAAAACUUUCCCUCUAGAGCUUCAUAGCAUACGAACACUUUCACAACAUCACAAUUAAUUUGUUCAAUCAGGUCUUUAUCAUUAAAUGAUCUAUAAUAAUCUUUCAUGUUACUGCUCUUGUAGUCAGAUUUGUGAGCGGUGUCUAGUCUGCUCCUUUUUAUUAUUUGGUAUCCAUCAAUUUCCGACUGGCAUUUGCGCUCCUGCAAUAUGCUAAAUCAUAUCCGAAAAAUGAAAAAUUAAAAGUAAUUCGUGGUCAGAGAUGACGAUUAAGGAGGUGAUAAUUAAACCACGAGAUCAUAAUUAAUGAGGCGAUAAUUUGAAUAAAAAUAAACAAAAUUUAUAUAGUGAUAUAAAGCUCAAUCAGUAUUGACUAACUCUAAACUGAAUAAAAAUUGAAUAUGUGAGGAGGAAAUUGAAAAAGAAAUCGACAGACUAAUAAAGGAAAACAACAACGAAACAAAAACAUGAAAAAUGAGAGCAUAUAAUCGGAAUCACCAAAGCAAAAACGGAAAGCGAAUAAAAAUGAAACAGAAACUUAGGAAACAAAAGGAAAUGAGGCUUACUCUGUGUUAGGUUUGUUACGAGUGAGCUCUUUUGGUCUUGUCAUGACCUCUUUCUUCGAAGAAACAGAUAACGAUUUAAGAGAGAAUUCAAAUGAAAUUUGUUAAACUAAAUUAUGAAAGGCCCAGAAUCCAUGAAAAAUAUAGGCCCAAUUAAAAUAUUGCACAUAAAAUAAUCUAGACUUAUUCUCUAUAAGAACGGUAAAGGUAUUUAAGAUUCUAACAAAAGUAUUUAAAUGCAAGAUAUGAAAAAACAUAAAAAAUGUGAUUCAUGAAGGAAAAACAUAGGUCUAUUCUUUACAAAGAAUGACCUAACUAUACAAAGAAUGACAUAAACCCACUCUUUACAAAGAAUGAUCAACGUCCACUCUUUACAAAGAAUGACCAACGUCCACUCUUUACAAAGAAUGACCAACGUCUACUCUUUAAAAAAAUGUCUUAGAUCCACUCUUUAUAAAGAAUGACCUAGGUUCAAUCUUUACAAAGAAUGAUGUAAGUCCCCUAUUUACAAAGAAUGACAUAUGUGCACUUUUUACAAAGAAUGAAUAAGGUCCACUCUUUACAAAGAACGACCAAGGUCCACUUUUUACAAAGAACGACCAAGGUCCACUCUUUACAAAAAAUGACCAAGGUCCACUCUUUACAAAAAAUGACCAAUGUCCACUCUUUACAAAAAAUGACCAAGAUCCUCUCUUUAUAAAAAAUGAAUAAGAUCCUCUCUUUAUGAGGAACAAAUUGCUGACAUUAUGACUAAACCACUUUCAUUUAUUCAUUUCAAGCUGCUUAAGGAGACUUUUGUUCUUCUAUUUGACUUCUGUUAACUUCUUCCUCUUUUGAUCUGCUUAGCAGUGCCUUUCAAAGAAAUUUAUUAAACUAAAUUAUGAAAGACCCAGAAUCCAUGAAAAAUAUAGGUCUAAUUAAAAUAUUGCACAUAAAAUAAUCUAGACUUAUUCUCUAUAAGAACGGUAAAGGUACUUAAGAUUCUAACAAAAGUAUUAAAAUGCAAGAUAUGAAAAAACAUAAAAAAUGUGAUUCAUGAAGGAAAAACCUAGGUCUAUUCUUUACAAAGAAUGACCUAACUAUACAAAGAAUGACAUAGGUCCACUCUUUACAAAGAAUGAUCAACGCCCACUCUUUACAAAGAAUGACCAACGUCCACUCUUUACAAAGAAUGAUCUAGGUCCACUCUUUAAAAAAAAUAUCUUAGGUUUAUUUUUUAUAAAGAAUAACCUAGGUCCAAUCUUUACAAAGAAUUAAAUAAGUCCCCUAUUUACAAAGAAUGACAUAGGUGCACUUUUUACAAAGAAUGAAUAAGGUCCACUCUUUACAAAGAACGACCAAGGUCCACUCUUUACAAAAAAUGACCAAUGUCUACUCUUUACAAAAAAUGACCAAGAUCCUCUCUUUAUAAAAAAUGAAUAAGAUCCUCUCUUUAUGAGGAACAAAUUGCUGACAUUAUGACUAAACCACUUUCAUUUAUUCAUUUCAAGCUGCUUAAGGAGACUUUUGUUCUCCUCUUUGACUUCCGUUAACUUCUUCCUCUUUUGAUCUGCUUAGCAGUGCCUUUCAUAACCCCAUCUUCUGCCUUAUCUAGUGCCACUUCUAAGGAAGAAAAACUUCUUUAUGACUUUCUCUAAAGCCUCUGCCAACUGCUUGUUGUCAGCCAUUGCUAUAUUCAAUUUUCUCUCUCGAGUUUCGUAGCAUACAAACACUUUCACAAGAACAAAAUUAAUUUGUUCAAUCAUGUCUUUUUCAUUAAAUGAUCUAUAAUCAUCUUUCAUGUUAUUGCUCUUGCAGUCAGAUUUACAAAGAAUGAUCAACGUCUACUCUUUACAAAAAAUGACCUAGGUCCACUCUUUACAAAGAAUGCCCUAGGUCCACUCUUUAAAAAGAAUGUCUUAGGUCCACUCUUUAUAAAGAAUGACCUAGGUCCAAUCUUUACAAAGAAUGACAUAAGUCCACUAUUUACAAAAAAUGACAUAUGUCCACUUUUUAUAAACAAUAUAUAGGUCCACUCUUUACAAAGAAUGACCAAGGUCCACUCUUUACAAAGAAUGACCAAUGUCCACUCUUUACAAAAAAUGACUAAUAUCCUCUCUUUAUAAAAAAAUGAAUAAGAUCAUCUCUUUAUAAAAAAUGAAUAAGAUCCUCUCUUUAGCCUGAAGAUAAUGCUUAUACUUUUAUUUGAUUGUUGUCAUUAAUCUGAUGGAAGAAGUAAACACAAUUUUCAAAAAAAAAAAAAGAUUUUCAAUUUGAGUUUGAAAUUUUACUAAACUUUUAUCGUUUAAAUUAAUAGGGCCUAGCAAUAAGCUGGUUGGGGGGUGUGAUUGACACCAAAAAGUGUGCAUUUAAUAAGGAUGAAAUGAUUAGUUUUUCACUUAUUAUGUCGAUUAAUGCGUUCAUUAUUUCUAAAUUAUUUUAAUACUCCCAAAUAUAUUUUAUGUUAAAUUAAUUCACAAUUUGUUAAUUUUUAUCUUAUAAAUAAUUUUCAGGAAUAAAGAUGGAAUUGGAAUUGAAAGCGGGAAUAAAGAAGAACUACUGGAACACAAUUGAGGAGAUGUAAUAAUAAAAAAAUAAAAACAAAAAAAUAAAAAUAAAAACAAAAAAAGAACAAAGGACAAAAGAGCAAAAGGCAACCAUGUUUUGAUUGCAUGUGAUGGUCAGAAGGACAUCACGCCUCCUGGCCAUCACACUUCUCAACAUUCAUUUAAUUUAUAAAAAAAAUAAAAUAAUAAUAAAUUAAAUAAGAAUAGAAAGAAUGAAGAUGAGGCAAUUGUUGCCUGUAAAAGCCGGAGUAUUGAGAAGCCAGAGAACUAUUAUUUUUUGAGGAGCUUAAGCCGAGAGAGAAUAGUACAGCUCAAGAAUUUCUUUCUUUCUUUGUUUCUUUUCUUUUCUUGUUUCCGUUUGUAAUCAACUUUCUUGUAAUGUAUUUCAAAAGUUUAUCAAAUGAAAGAGUGUUGUGUUUUCUUUCAAUAUGAAUAACUAAUUUUAUUAAGCUGAGGUGAAGCUCAAUGUUUCAAACUAUUAAAUUUAUUAUUUUCUCAAAUGAGUUUAAAGUUUAUUUUAUUCUUUUCUAGUUAUUUUUAUGUCAUAUUAAUUUAUAAAUUUAUUUGGAUAUAUAUGGUAUUUUGACAUAAUGUCGACACAUUAAUAUAGUAUGGCACAUUAGGUACUUUAUUUCAUAUUUAUCCACACACAUAGUUAGUUGAGAAUUAAAUGAUAUAAUAAUUAAUUGGAAAAAGUGAGGCUAAAAAUGAGAGAGUAUUAAAAUUAUAGUUUGAAUACUAAGAGUGGAUCUCGUAGCCUUAGCUUAUUUUUAAAUCAAUUUCAAAUAAUUUCUUUGCCCAGCAAUUAAUUUUCUUAGUUGUACUAGAUUUAAAACUCCAUGUAGUUCGACCCCGGUCUCACCGGGUUAUAUUAUAACUAGACACUCUUAUACUUGAGAGUAAUACACUUUUGAGUCGUGUCAAGUUUUUGACGCCGUUGCCGGGGAGUUUUCUAAAUUUGGUAUUAGUUUGUCUUUACUUUAUUUUUAUUUUAUUUUAAUAUUUUUGUUUUGUCGUUACCAUCUUUCCGGGAUUCUAUUUUAUUAUUUUUUUGUAAAACUUCAGUUAGCACCCCUCUUGUUUUCAAACCUUAACAUUAUCCAUAAAAUUUGUGAGAAACUUCAAUUUAGCCCAGAAAUAUUUGCAAAUCAGUCCCCAAAUCGAAUUUAUUUCUUUAAAUUUCGGGAAUUUACUUUACGCAUUUAUUUUAAAUGGUUGGUUCUACCGCCUGACUGUUAUUUAAAUUUUGUUAAUUUAUGUAUUUUUAUUUAUAUGGUCGGAUCUACUGCCUAACAUUUUAAUUUCAGUUUAUUUAUUUUUGUGCAUUAAUUUAUUUAAUUUUAUGUUUUAUUAUAUGGUUGGUUUUAAAAUACCGCCUAAACUGUUUCUUUUAAUUCCUUUGUUUAUGGUUGGUUUCACCGCCUAAUUUCUUUAUUUUAUUUAUCUUCAGUUUGUUUAUUUUUAUUUCGCAUUUUUUUACUUAUUUAAAUUCCAAUUUAUUUUCAUAUCUUCAAUUUUUCAUUUAGUGUUUUAUGCAUCAUUGGUUUAGCACACAUCAUUAGCAUUGCAUGCGUCGUUGGUCUCGUACAAAUAGUGACAGAUUAAUUAGAAGAUCACCUGCACCACCCUUAAAUAUGGCUGACAUAGGAGCUGAAAAUUUUUCGGAGCACGAAAAUGACCAAGCCUUGCAAAAUCUUCAUGAACAACCUAGGACCCUUAGAGACUUCAUGCAUCCUAUUAGAACAGGGUCACCAUCAUGCAUAGUUUUCCCUCCUGAUGCAUCACGUUUUAAUUUUAAACCUGGUAUCAUUCAACUUCUUCCUACUUUUUAUGGUUUUGAGUCUGAAAAUCCAUAUUUGCAAUUAAAGGAAUUUGAGGAAGUCUGUAAUACAUGUACUGAUCAAAAUUGUAGCAUGAAUAUAAUCAGGCUUAAGUUUUUUCCUUUCUCACUAAAGGAUAAAGCUAAAAUUUGGCUACAAAAUCUUAGGUUAGAAUCCAUCCGAACUUGGGAUGAAAUGCAAGCACAAUUUUUGAAAAAAUUCUUUCCACCCCACAGAACAAAAUCUUUCAAAAGACAAAUCACAACUUUCACUCAAAAACCAGGAGAAACCCUCUACCAAUGUUGGGAUAGGUUUAAAGAACUAUUUAACAUUUGCCCACACCACGGUUUUGAAACAUGGAGAUUGUGUCUUAUUUCUACGAGGGAUUAACAUCUCAAGGUAGACAAGUCGUUGAAAUGAUGUGUAAUGGUGAGUUUAGGGAUAAAAGUCCUGAAGAUGCAUUAGACUAUCUUGAAUAUAUAGCAGAGAAUGCACAACACUGGGAUACAAUUGGGUCUUAUGAGUCAUCAAGUAAACCCCAGUCAUCUCCAUCUGGUGGAGGCAUGCAUAAUCUUAGGGAAGACCAUGAUUUUCAAGCCAAAUUUACAUCCUUAGAUAGAAAAGUUGAAGCAUUAGAGUUGAAAAAGAAUGAUAAUGUAAAGUCUGUUCAAAAUAUUUCAUGUUAUGUUUGCGAUUUUACUGACCAUUCUAUGCAGGACUGUUCAACUUUGCCAGCUCUGAGAGAAAGUUUGCAAGAACAAGUAAAUGUCGUUGACAAUUUCAAAAGGCCUAAUCCAAAUCCAUACUCCCAAACUUACAACUCUGGUUGGAAAAACCACCCAAAUUUCAGUUGGAGAAAUGAUAAUCAUGCACAACCUUCACAACCAGUUCCUCCACAUCAAAAUGUCCAAAAUUCCCAGAGUUACCAACCCUAUGUCCCACCACCAAGAAAAACUCUGGAAGACACAUUGCAUUCGUUUAUUGAAAAAUAAGAGUCAAUCAAUAACCAAACGAUGCAAACCUUAACCAAUUUGAUAGAAAUUAUCUCCAAACUUACAUCUGCUCUGACCAUGCAUGAAAAAGGAAAGUUUCCUGCUCAACCUGAACCAAACCCCAAGAGACAACAAUGUCCUCAAAUGGGAAAUUCAGGAAACCAAAACAUGAGUCAAGUCAAAUCAGUCAUAACCCUUCGUGGUGGUAAAAUGGUCGAAAAACACAUUGUGGACCCUCGUGAAACUAGUAAAGAUUCAUUUUCAGAAAAUAUGGAAGAGUCUGUCGAACCUUUAACCUAUGAAGAAAUAACCAACUCUUCUCCUGUACCCCCAUUUCCUCAAGCACUAAUCAAGCCAAAGAAAUCAGACCACAGUCCAGAAAUUUAUGAAGUUUUUAAAUAAGUAAAGGUCAACAUUCCUCUACUGGAUGUCAUUAAAUAUGUACCUUGUUAUGCUAAAUUUCUGAAAGAUCUGUGCACAGUGAAAAGGAAACAUAAGGUGCAAAAGAGAGCUUUUCUAGCAGAACAUGUAAGUUCCAUUCUCUCAACCAAUAGUGCUUUGAAAUAUAAGGAUCCUGGUUGUCCAAAUAUUUCUUGCACUAUUGGGGAUCAUAAAAUUGGACAUGCUGAUAACUCUAGGAAAUUAGAGUUAUUACAUUAAUUCUAGACUUAAAUCAAGAUCACUUAGAGAACAAAUAAAGUGUUUUUAUUACAUUUUGGUUAUAUUUUGCAUAAACAUUCAUUUUAGUUUAGUCUUAAUAAGUUUUGUUUGAAUAAAAGUAAUUUAUGCUAAAAAUAGGUGCAUAAUUGUAGGUUUUCAGAAAGUCUUAAUUCAUGAAGGGAUGGUGAGACAUUAGAUGAGCAAGAGGAGGAAAGAAGAUGGUCGCAAAAGAAGUAAAGCACAAUCGGGAAUAGUGCAGUAUUAUAGCAGAUGUUAGAGCAACCAGUGCUGUAGCAAUCUGGGAGCAAUGCGGGAGAAAACUUAGGAGCGGGUCAGCUGCAGAAUCGCGAUUUGCAUGUUUCCUAAUGAACUAUUUUUUACGCCCAUGAACUAUUUUUUACCUUAGUUUGCAGUAUAAAAGGGAGGCGUGCACCACAUAGAAAGGCGGCAAAGGAAUUAUCAUUAGAAUCAUUAGAGAGGAAAGGAGAAGAAGAUCAUAAUUGAAAAGUGCUGUUUCGGCAACAUUGAGGAAUCUUGCAGAAUUAUUUGGAUUUACCUUUCACCGUGCUAAACUUAUAUUUAUCUUCUUCCUUUGAUUGUUCUGAUGUAUCCUGUGAACAACAUAUUUAUGUUUGUUUUUCUUAUUCAGAAUAUGAACUAGAUUUGCUUGUAGUUGAGUGACAAACAAUUCAAUGGGUUCUUGACUGUUCUUAUGUGUUGUUAUGUCAUUGUUGUAGCAUUAUACUCUAGUAGUUAUUAUUAAUAUAACUGUUAUUUCAGUUGACCACCCAUUUAAUAGUUCCAGUUAAGAUAGAGCAGCAAAAGGGCAUGUCUUAGCGGACAUUAUUAGAGUAUUAUUUGAUCUUAAUUUAAGUUUCCUGGAUUAAGUUAUCUUGAAUCCCAUAAGGGCUAUACUUGAAGUUAAGAUUUGUGAUACACUAGACAUAGGUGCUCACCUUGUAGGGUGGAGAGACUAAAAGAUCAUAAUGCCAUACCAUAAGUAGAUUAGCAACUGGUCAUUGUUAAUAGAUUUAAGGGUAUGAGAGUUUCAAUAUGCGAUAGCUGAGGAUGCAGAUUAAUUCUGCCCAGUGCUGCAUCACUUGCCGUAACAACUGGUGUUAACAUGAUGAAAAGCAGUCAGCCCAUAAGGAGAGCUUGAUCAUUCAACUACCAUAGUCUCAAUUGAAUCUUAGACACAUUUAAUUUAUUUUAAUUCAUUACAGUACUGUUUUACUUUAUUCUCUCAUAAUCAUCAAUUACAAUAGAACCCACUCUACAUUUGUUAACUUCGGAUUGAAUUUAGUUGCACUAUUGUGAUUGCUAUAGCAUUUCAAGUGACAUCAAUUCCUGUGGAGAUGAUCUUGAAUAUUCAUCACUUUAUUACUUGUUGUGUUCACUUGCACAUUGACAUCAAUAGCAUUUGAUUAUAAAAUUAACCAACACAUGCUCUACUUGAUCUUGGUGCCAGUGUUAAUUUGCUUCCUUACUCAGUUUACCAACAACUCAAUCUCGGUGAGUUAAAACUAACUUCUACCACUCUUUUACUUGCUGAUAGAUCGAUUAAAGUUCCAAGAGAAAUAAUUGAAGAUGUAUUAGUCCAAGUCGAUAAAUUCAUAUAUCCUAUGGAUUUUAUUGUUUUGGAAACGAAACCAAUUGCUAAUUAAUGCAAACAAAUUCCUGUUAUAUUGGGUCGACCAUUUUUAGCUACUGCUAAUACUUUGAUAAAUUGUAGGAAUGGAUUAAUGAAUUUAUCUUUCGGCAACAUGACACUGGAACUCAAUGUGUUCAACAUGUAACAACCUCACCACCAAGAAGAUGAUGAUGAUGAUAAUGAGAAUGAGGAGAUUGAUCUCAUCGAACCAAUCAUUGAGGAACACAUUCAGGAUGAGAAUUUUACAAACUCUGCUGAAAUUUGUUUUGCUGGUUCUUUUGAAUCAAGUAAGGAAUUAGAUUUUGAUACUGCUAACAUAUGUCCUACACUUGAUUCUAUGCAGGUACCUAUAAGUGACGAUGACCAAUCGAACUUUGAAGAUAUGAUACAACCUGAAGAACCAAACGAAGAGGAAGCACCAGAACUCGAAUUAAAGCCCUUACUAGAAGAAUUGAAGUAUGUCUAUCUUGGAGAACAACAGAUAUAUCCGGUGGUAAUUUCUUCCCAGCUCAUGCAUGAUCAAGAAGGUAAGUUGCUAUCUGUACUAAAAAGGAAUAAAACUGCAUUUGGUUGGACCUUAAAAGACAUAAAAGGCAUUAAUCCUUUAAAAUGCCAAAACAACCCGUCAACCACAAAGAAGAUUAAACCCUCAUAUGAAAGAAGUGGUAAAGAAUGAGGUCCUUAAACUACUAGAUGUAGGAAUUAUCUAUCAUAUCUCUGAUAGUAAAUGGGUAAGUCCAACACAAGUAGUACCAAAGAAAUCUGGAAUAACUGUUGUAAAAAAUGAAAAAGGUGAACUAAUAACUCUAGGAAAUAAGAGUUAUUACAUCCUUUCUAAACUUAAAUCAAGAUCAUUUAGAGAUCAAAUAAGGUGUUUUUAUUACAUUUUGCAUAAACAUUCAUUUGAGCUGAGUUUUAAUAAGUUUUGCUUGAAUCAAAGUAAUUUGUGCUAAAAACAGGUGUAUAAUUGUAGGUUUUCAGAAAGUCUUAAUUCAUGAGGGGAUGUUGAGACAUUAGAUGAGCAAGAAGAGGAAAGAAGAUGGCCACAAAAGAAGUAAAGCACAAUCGAGAAUAGUGCAGUGUGGUUGCGGAUGUUAGAGCAACCAGUGCUGUAGCAAUCUGGGAGUAAUGUGGGAGAAAACUUAGGUGUGGGUCAGCCACAAAAUUGCAAUCUGCAUGUUUCCUAAUUUAACGCAUGCACGCUCAUGGGCUUUUGUUUACCCUAAUUUGCAAUAUAAAAGGGAGGCGUUCAUGACAUAGAAAGGCGGCAAGGGAAUUAUCAUUAGAUUAGUUUCAAAUGAAAGAAGAAGAAGAUCAGAAUUGGAGAGUGCUGUUUCGGCAACAUUGAAGAAUAGUGCAGAAGUAUUUGGAUUUGUUUUUCACCGUGCUUAACUUAUAUUUAUCUUCUUCCUUUAAUUAUUUGAUGUAUCCAUUGAACAAUAUAUUUAUGUUUAUUUUUCUCAUUCAGAAUAUAAACUAAAUUUACUCGUAGUUGAGUGACAAAUAAUCCAUUGGGUUCUUGACUGUUCUUAUAUGUUGUUAUGUCAUUGCUGUAGCAUUUUACUCUAGUAGUUUUUAUGAAUAUAACUGUUAUUUUGGUUGACCACCCAUUUAAUAGUUUCAGUUAAGAUAGAGCAGCACAAGGGCAUAUCUUAGCAGAUAUUAUUAGAUUAUUGCCUGAUCUUAAGUUGAGUUUCCUGGAUUAAGUUAUCUUGAAUCUCAUAAGGGCAAUACUUGAAGUUGAGAUUUGUGACACACUAGACAUAGGUGUUCACCUUGUAGGGUGGAGAGACUAAAGAUCAAAAUGCCAUGCCAUAAGUAGAUUAGCAACUGGUUAUUGUUAGUAGAUUUAAGGGUAUGAGACUUCCAAUAUGCGAUAGCUGAGGAUGCAGAUUUAUUUUGCCCAGUGCUGCAGCACUUGCCGUAAUAACUGGUUCUAAUUUGAUAAAAAAAUAGUCACCCCUAUAAGGAGAGUUUGAUCAUUCAACUACCAUAAUCUCAAUUGAAUUUUAGACAAAUUUCACAUAGUUUAUUUCAUUACGGUAUUGUUUUAUUUAAUUCUCUCACAACCAUUAAUUACGAUAGAAAUUACUUUACAAUUGUUAGCUUCGGCCUUAAGUUGAUUUGCACUAUUGUGAUUGCUAUAGCAUUUCGAGUAACAUCAAUCCCUGUGGAGACGAUCUUGAUUUCUUAUCACUUUAUUACUUGUUGUGUAGACUUGCACAUUGGCAUUGGUAGCAAUUGCUUAUAAAAUUAACCAACAAGUUUUUGGCGCCGUUGCUGGGGAUUGAUUGUUUAUCUUUGAAGUGUGAAGUAAAUCUUGAUAGCGCCAAAUUUGACCUAAUGCAUUCUAUUUAUUGGCAGAUCGGUACGUGCAUGCGCAAAGACGGAUCUGUGGUAUUCCAAUUCGAUCCUGAGAUUGAAAGGACUGUCAGGAGACUGCGAAGAGAACAAAGGAAUUUAAAAACUGUUUCAAGCAUGAAUAAUUUGCAGGAUGCGGGAAAUUUAAAUCCUCACGGACCCUUACAACCAGUCAACAUUCAAGAAGAGCAGAAUGAACAUGCUAAUGAGAGACAGCCAGGCAAUAACAAUAUUAUUUACAUGGCUGAUGACAGACACAAAGCUAUAAGAGAUUAUGUUGUGUUAACUGCUCAAGUUGUACACCCUGGGAUCAUCAGACCUGAAGUAGAAGCUGCAAAUUUUGAGUUGAAGCCAGUGAUGUUUCAAAUGUUGCAAACAGUUGGUCAAUUCAAUGGAUUGGCAAAUGAAGAUCUUCAUCUCCAUCUUAAAUUGUUCUUGGAAGUAAGUGAUGCUUUUAAGAUUGCUGGAGCAACACAAGAUGCCUUAAGGCUGAGGCUUGUUCCUUAUUCCUUAAGAGAUCGAGCAAGACCAUGGUUAAAUUCGUUACCAUCUGAUUCCAUCACUACAUGGAAUGAAUUGGCUGACAAAUUCCUAAUGAAAUAUUUCCCACCGACAAAAAAUGCAAAGUUGCUGAAUGAGAUUACUUCCUUCCAUCAACUUGAAGAUGAGAGUUUGUACGAGGCUUGGGAAAGAUUCAAAGAAUUGCUCAGAAGGUGUCCUCAUCAUGGUAUUCCUUGUUGCAUUCAAUUGGAAACUUUCUACAAUUGGUUGAAUCCGAGUACAAGGUUAAUGGUGGAUGCUUCAGCAAAUGGAGCCCUGUUAUCCAAAUCUUACACUGAAGCUUAUGAAAUUCUGGAGAGAAUUGCCAAUAAUAAUUAUCAGUGGCCUUCAGCCAGGCAACCAACGGCAAGAGGAUCAGCAAGGGUACAUAACAUAGAUGCAAUUACAACAUUAUCAGCACAAGUAACCACAUUGACUAACAUAGUGAAGGCCAUGACAUCUGCUCAAGCAACAACAAAGAAAGUUGCUGAAGUUUCUUGUGUAUACUGUGGUGAAGAACAUGACUUUGAUAAUUGUCCUGAAAAUCCAGCUUCAGUAAGUUAUGUGGGUAAUUUCAAUCGACAACCUCAGAACAACCCAUAUUCAAAUACUUACAACCCUGGCUGGAAACAACACCCAAAUUUCUCAUAGAGCAGUCAGAAUCGAAAUGGUCCAGCAUUGAAUGGACAAAAUAGAAACACACAACCACCUGGUUUUCAUCAGCAGAGUCAAGGGAAAAAACAUAUCAGUCAGGAUCCAAUCACUUCCAUGGAAGCACUGUUUAAGGAAUACAUUGCAAAGAAUAAAGCAAUUGUGCAGAGUCAAGCUGUAUCUUUGAGAAACCUGAAAAACCAAAUGGGACAACUUGCCACAACAAUGAGCAGCAGAACUCAAUGAAGCUUACCUAGCAACACAGAAGACCCUAGGAGAGAGGGCAAAGAACACUACAAAGUAAUUAAUUUGAGAUCUGAAAAAAAUGUUGAUAUCCCAGUUGAUGUAAAAAAAAAUGGGAUGGAAUUCAAUUCAGCACAAAAAUCACCUCAAAAUGGAAGCAUAUUAUAACAACCUCCCCAUCAAGACACUGGUUUCAUGGGCCAAGCUACAACAACUGCAGAAGAGAUUCAACCAGAUUAUGCUGAAAAAGAAGUUGCAACACCAGUAGCCACAACCUACUCCAAACCAAACAAACAGUGUUUGAUACCUCCUGAAGCUACCCAGCAGUUUAGACAUCCACCACCUUUCCCACAAAGGUUCCAGAAGCAAAAAUAAGACAAGCAGUUCAGUAAAUUAUGUGAAGUGCUGAAGUAAUUACACAUAAAUAUACCUUUUGUGGAAGCUUUAGAGUAAAUGCCAAAUUAUGUGAAAUUUCUAAAAGACAUCUUGGCAAGGAAGAGAAGACUGGGAGAGUUUGAAACUGUUGCUUUAACAUAGGAAAGCAGUCAUAUGCUCCAAAGUAAGAUUCCUACAAAAGUGAAAAAUCUAAGAAGUUUUACAAUACCCUGCUCUAUAGGAACUAGGUAUGCUGGCAGAGCACUUUGUGACUUGGGAGCUAAUAUUAAUUUGAUGCCAUUAUCUGUAUUUAAGCAGCUGGGAGUAGGGGAAUGCAGACCAACAACAGUCACUCUGCAAUUAGCAGACAUAUCUCAUGCAUACCCUGAAGGAAAAAUAGAAGAUGUACUGGUAAAGGUUGACAAAUUCAUCUUUCCAGUAGAUUUCAUUGUACUGGACUUUGAAGCUGAUAAAGAGGUACCCAUUAUACUUGGAAGACCUUUUCUAGCAACUGGAAAGACUCUGAUAAAUGUGCAAAAAGGAGAGCUGACCAUGAGAGUAAAUAAUCAGCAAGUCACAUUCAAUGUACUAGAGGCUAUGAGGAACCCUGAUGAAGUAGAAGAUUGCAAUUUUCUAAGUGUAGUGGAUUUUAUGGUAGCAGAUAGAAUGGAUAGAUGCUGCAGUAAUAAAUUCAACAAAGUCACUACCUUUGAGGAUAUAGAAGAGGAAGAUGUUGCAGCAAAUCAGAUAGAUUGGAUGGGAGAAAAGCAAUCUGAUAGGCACAACAUGUUUAUUGAGCAUCUGAACCUUUCAGACAGGGAAGUAAAAACAACUUUACCAUCUAUUGAAUCACCUCUUAGUCUUGAAUUAAAAUUGUUACCUUCACAUUUGAAGUAUGUUGAUCUUGGUCAAAACAAAACACUCCCUGUAAUCAUUUCUUCUACUUUGGAUGUAGGUCAAGAACAGAGUCUAGUGAAUUUACUUGGAAAAUACAGAAGAGCAAUUAGAUGGACCAUGGCAGACAUCAAGGGUAUAAGCCCAUCAAUAUGCAUGCAUAAAAUCCUGUUAGAAGAUUGCUCCAGCAAUUCGGUGGAGUACCAGAGAAGGUUGAACCCUAUAAUGAAAGAAGUGGUGAAGAAGGAAAUCAUCAAAUGGUUGGAUGCUGGAAUUAUAUACCCAAUAUCAGACAGUUCAUGGGUGAGCCCAGUUCAAUGUGUUUCAAAUAAGGGAGGGAUAACAGUAGUAGUUAAUGAGAGGAAUGAACUUAUUCCUACAAGGACAAUGACUGGAUGGAGAGUAUGUAUGGAUUACAGGAAGCUCAACAAAGCCACAAGGAAAGACCAUUUCCCAUUUUCAUUCAUAGAUCAUAUGUUGGACAGACUUGCUGGAAAACAGUACUAUUGUUUCUUAGAUGGGUAUUCAGGCUACAACCAGAUUGUUAUAGCUUCAAAGGAUCAUGAGAAGAUUACAUUUACUUGUUCUUAUGGAACAUUUGCUUUCAGAAGAAUGCCCUUUGGGUUAUGUAAUGCUCCAACAACUUUUUAGAGAUACAUGAUGUCUAUUUUUUAUGAUAUGGUAGAGCAGAAUUUUAAAGUUUUCAUGGAUGACUUCUCAGUUUUUGAAGAAACAUACAAUGAUUGUUUACACAACUUGGAAGAAGUUCUCAAAAGAUGUGAGAUGACCAACUUAGUACUCAAUUGGGAAAAGUGCCAUUUCAUGGUGCAAGAAGGAAUAAUGUUGGGACAUAAGGUAUCCAAGAAUGGCAUUGAGGUAGACAAAGCCAAGAUAGAAGUAAUAGAUAAACUGCCACCUCCAACUUCAGUAAAGGGUAUUAGGAGUUUCUUGGGUCAUGCUGGAUUUUACAGAAGAUUUAUUAAGGAUUUUUCCAAGGUAGCUAAACCACUAUGCUCAUUGCUGGAACAUGACAAACCUUUUCACUUUCACAAGGAUUGCAUUCAAGCAUUUGGAGAGUUAAAGAAAGCUCUUAUCACUGCUCCAGUAGUUAUAUCUCCAUACUGGAAUUUACCAUUUGAACUGAUGUGUGAUGCCAGUGACCAUUCUGUGGGAGCAGUAUUAGGGCAAAGAAAGGAUAAUGUCUUUCACUCCAUAUACUAUGCCAGCAAAACUCUUACUCAAACUCAGAUCAAUUACACCACUACAAAGAAAGAGUUGCUAGCUGUACUAUUUGCUUUUGCAAAUUUAGAGCUUACUUGGUGGGUACUAAAGUGAUUGUUUACACAGACCAUGCAGCCAUCAAAUACUUAAUCUCAAAGAAGGAUGCCAAACCAAGAUUAAUCAGAUGGAUCUUAUUAUUUCAAGAAUUUGAUCUGGAAAUUAAAGAUAGAAAGGGGACUGAGAAUCAAGUGGCAGACAACUUGUCACGGCUGGAAGCAGACACUAGUACUAGGGGUGGGCAAUUUCGGAUUCGGAUGAAUCCGAUCGGAUUUCGGAUAAUUCGGAUUAAAAAAAAAUUCAUCCGAAUUUUCAUCCGAUUCGAAUCCGAUCCGAAUUGGAUCGGAUGAGUUUGGAUUUCGGAUUAAUUUUCAGAUUCGGAUUAUUUUUCGAAUUCGGAUUAUAUUUUGGAUUCGGAUUAAUUCGGAUUGAAAUCGGAUUUAGACCUUUUUCACAAUUCUCACAAAAAAAUUAUGAAAUCUAUAAUUAAUGAAAACUUACUAACCAUUAAAAAAAAAAAGAAAAUGAAAACAAGCUAACAAAUGACAAUCUAGAUUGUAUUGUUUCCUUAACAAUAUGGCAUUGACAUAUACCAAGAAAACAAGCACUCCCAUUUCAUUUAAUUAGUAAUGCUCUUACAAGUUAGGUGCAUAAACAUUACUCUAAGUCCAAGCCUCCAAAUAAGCAACAUAAAAUAAACAUUGCUCCAAGUCUCUAAAUAAACAACACAAAAUAAACUUUGCUCCAACUCUAAGUCUCCAAGUAAACAACACAAAAUAAACAUUACUUCAAGUCUCCCAACAAACAACACAAAAUAAACAAUUAAACAUUACUCCAAGUCUCUAAAUAAAUAAACAACACAAAAUCACAAAAUAAAUAUUAUCAUUAUAUCAUCCAACAAUAAAAUAAACCAAAAUAAAAAUUAUCAUCCAAAAACAUUUAGAUAGACUACAAGUUCCUCAAACCAAAAGUACAAUAACAUCAAAUUAAACUCACAACACACUUUGAUGAGUCCUUAACCUUUGCUUUCCAACUACCAACUUCAAUUUUCCUAACAUAAGAUCACAAACAAUUAUCAUGUUACAAUUGACUUAAAACCAAAAGUAAAACAAUUAUAAAUAUAAUACAUUGAAACCAAAAGAUUUAUUAAAUUUAAGAGUUACCUUACCUAUUCAAAUAUCAUGACGAAUACUAGCACCCAUCAUUGUAACUUGUAAUUGUUGAAGCUUGUGAUUGUACAUACUCUUGAAAAUGAAAAAAAAAAAACAUAAUAACUUAUAAUUAGUGCAUGAGUAAUAUAAAAAAUGUGUUAUAAUAAAUUUAAAAGGUAUUAUAUAUAAAAUGUAAUAUAAAAAAGUUAUCCUCUUGUAACUCCAUUUGAUAUAUAUGAUCUUUCAACUCUUGAUUAAGGUCGUAGAUAGGAGUGGCAAAAAGUUUAGAGUGCAACCAAUUUUCAGUGCAAAUCAAUGCUUCAAUCAUAGUGGGAGUUAAAGAACUCCUAUAUUCGUCAAUGAUAUGACCCCCAGUGCUGAAGGCGGACUCCGAAGCCACAGUGGAUACCGGAAUUGCAAGGAUAUCCCUUGCUAUUUUCUGCAAUAUCGGAUACUUCGACCCGUUCACCUUCCACCAUAAUAAAACAUUUAGUUUAUCAUUACUAGGAUCUUCAAUCGGGUCAAGUAAGUAUCUUUCCACCUCGGUCGUCACAAGCUUGUCCUCGUUUUGAAUUAAAACUUUCUUAGCAUAUCCAAGAAAAGGGCGAGCAACUCGUAAAGUAUCAUCACCAUGUUCCAUUAUGUACCCUUGUUGCCGAUCCGUGUCAUCUAUAAGGUGCGGAGAAGAACUAGAACCGCCACCGCCACCACUGGCACUGCCACUACGAAAACUCUCACUAGGCAAUGGUGGUGAGGAGUUCCAUCAACUAUGUGCAUCAAAAAGUGAAUUCAACAAGCCUUUUAUCACCGCGACUAUUUCUUCAAUCUUCGCACUAUCAUCGGAAAAAAUCAUACUAAAAAUAUGUUUAGUAACAUCCAUUUUGCAGCGCGGAUCAAGUAUUGAGGCAAUAAUCAAAAUUUUGUUGAUUUUCUCCGUGCACUCCCAAUAUUUGUCAUAUUUUUCCCUCAUACUAGAAGCCAUCAAAUGCACAUAAACAUCUUUGCUUUUUUCUAAUGCACUCAAUGAAUUCUCGAUUAAGCCAAUUGUAUCGUAACAAAGAUUAGAAGUGACACUCAAAGAGGCUGAAAAAGUCAAUGUAGCAUCAUAAAAGAUCUUUAAAAACCUCACAAUUCUUUCGGCAUGUUCCCAAUCUUCAAGCUCAGGUGGCCCCACCCUUUUUUUCUCGUUUUCUUCCUCUCUAAAGUAUGCUUCAUACGGUUUAUCCACUUCUGCCAUCCUUUCAAAUGCCUCCCAAAAUUUCAAAGCAGUCAUCAACAUCAAAUAUGUGGAAUUCCACCUAGUGAUACAAUCCAAAACCACAGUUCCAUUAGGACCUUUCACAUGAUCUACACAUUGUUUAAAUGCUUUUAAUCUCGAAGAGGAUGAUCUUACAUACUUCACAGCAUUCCGAAUACCGGCAACUGAGGCAUGCAACUCUUUUAACCCCCCAGUGACAAUCAAAUUUAAGAUAUGUGCACAACAACGCACAUGCAUGUAAUCACCCUGCAACACAAGUGCAUCAACAUUCUUCCACAUAAGCAUUUGGUUCUUCACAUAAUCAAUAGCAACAUCAUUGCCCGACGCAUUAUCAACAAUUAUUGCACACACCCUCUCUAUUCCCAUUCAAGCAAACAAGACUCAAUCUUUUUGCCAAUGGACUUCCCUUUAUGGUCUUCAAUCACGCUGAAACUAAUAAUCUUCCUAUGUAAACACCAAUUACUAUCAAUAAAGUGAGCUGUGAUUACCAUAUAACUCAUGUUCUGAACUGAAGUCCAUAUGUCAGUUGUAAGAGACACUCUAUGCUUAUUCUUACAUAUCAAACUCUUCAAAAUUCCCUUUUCUUCCAAGAACAUAUCCAUAACAUCUCUACUAAUAGUUCUCCGAGAUGGCAUAAUAAACUGAGGAACAACUACAUUGCAAAAAUGCCUAAACCCUUUGUUGUCAACAAAAUUAAGCGGCAACUCGCCCAAGAUAAUCAUUUUACUGACUGCCCUUCUACAAGCUUUUUGACUCCAUCCUUUGGCCAAAAUCAUAUUACUUGCAUUUCCUUCACCACUCUCGGCUGCCAAUUUUUGUUGUCUUUCAUCUUGCUCUCGCUUCACGUUCAAGUAUGCUUCACAUACUUUUAAAUGAGUUCCCAUAUUGCUAAUCCCAUCAAACCUAGGAUGGCACUGAUAUAUCUUGCCACAAUAGUUGCACUUUGCUUUAUAUUGAUUGUCCUCAAGUACAGUGUAAUGAUUCCAUGUCUCAGAUCUUUUCUUUAUUGGUCGUCUCUGAGUUGGAUUCUUUCGCUUUGUAUUUGUCUUUUCUGUGGGUACUUGUACACUUUCAACUUCAUCAUCAUCAUUGGAAUUUGAUUUUGAAUGUCCAGUCAUCUGAAAAUACAAAAAUCAUAUCAAUCAUCAUUGUUUUGUAACUUCCGUUUAUGAAUUUUCAACUAAAAAAUAAAUAUAACUUUUGACUAUAUAUAAUCUCUUCAGCCUAACUUACUAGCUAUACAAAUUCAUUCAUCAAAUUAUUAUUUGGAAAUAAAGCAAUUAAUGACAUUAAAUUAUCAUAAAAUAAUUCUACUACCACAAUGUACGGUAUGAAGAUGAAUUUUUAAUUUUAAAGAAUUGAUACUGUUCCUUAGUUUAUUAAUAAUUAAUAAACUAAUGUUAUAAAUGAAUAAUCAUACAUUAAAAUUAAAUAAUGAUGAUUAUUUAAUAAUUAAUAAAUUUGAAUUUUACAUCAAUACAUAUUCAUGUCUUUAUCAACUAAUAUUACAAAUGAAUAAUCAUACAUUAGAAAAAAUAAAAGGAAAAAACAGAACAAUUCAUGUCUUGCUCUCGGGUUUGGGGGCAACCGCUUGCUCUCGGGCUUGGCCCAAACAAUUUGGUGGCAUUUUCAGUUUUUCAUUUUCCAAGCAGUUACCAACUUACUCGCAAGGCUGCAAUGUAACUAAAAAAACCCUAAAAGUCGAAAAGAAGCAUGAAAUUCUAAGUGAGUUGUACUAACUUUCAAUUGUCAUGGGUUGGGUUUAAUUGCUUACCAUGAAUAAAGUUGCUAGGUGCUCGGGAAUAGUGGAAGUGGAUUAUCGAUGUUUAGCGUGGCAACUGGCCGGCACUGGACGUGAUCAGUUUGGUGGUUGAAGAGGCAGCUGUCAGCUGGGUUUCAGCUGGGUUUAGGUUGAUUAAUUGGGUUCCGUUCGCCUGGGUUUCAGUCGAAAUCAGCUAGCUUCCAGUCGAUUGGUGUCAGCGGGCCGGCGGCAGCUGAGUUUUGGUGUGGUCGUUACUCGUUAAUGGGUUUAAGACGGAUGAUAGGAUGAAGCUGGUUUUGGCAUUUUGCUUUUGCUCUGCUGCUCGUGCUCGCUGAGUCUUGUGUCUUUUUUUAAUGUCAGUUUGACAGUUUGAGUUGGUACUUGGCUCAGUUGGCUGUGACCUGUGCUGUGAGUCUGUGACUGAGAUGUAACAUUGUUAGAGUGCAAUUUAUGCACUAGUUUUGCAUUGUUUACUUCCCUUAAUAUCGAUGUUUUGCACUUAAUAAUGAUGAUUUACUUGUGUUUUACUUUUGUAGGUGCAAUUCUAUUGAUUUGUGAUAAAAUUGAGCUAUAAGAUGAUGUUUAAAGAUGAUUGUUCUCUUGGAGAAAUUAUGAGCGUCAGAAGAACUUUGUUGAUAAGGCGUGGGCGCGUGCUGUCAACUACGGACCUAUAGUUUUUAGUUUAACGUGUUUUGUAUUUUUGGUUAUUUUUCUAAUUACGAAUUUAAUAUUUCAGAUAUUAGUAUUUUAUUUUAAAUAGAAUUCUAGAGGAGAAGAGAGAGAGAGUAUUUAAGAGAGGAAACUAUUGUGAAAAAAAGGAUUUUUUGGAGGAAAGAAAGAAACCCUAGAUCUAAUUUUUCUCUUCUCUCUAUGAAGAACUAAACUUAUUUUUCUGGUUGAAGGUUAAUGAAGCUUUGAUUCAUCACUACUGUGAGAUCUUUCUUAUGCUUUAAUUAUUUUAUUACUUUUUAGGUAUUUGUUUAUUCUCUGAAUUAGUUUCAUGAUUAUGUUUGUUAAUUAGGUAAUUGGCCACUAUUUAAUUAUCAACUUAAUCUAUUGUCAAUUAAAGGAUUCAUCGUAUGAAGAUUUUAAUGUUUGUGACAAAUAACAUAGCAGUGAGUUGUGUUAUGAGAAUAAACAAUCUAAUUUAAAUGAAUCAUCAUAUGUGUUGAUUAGGAUUUGGGUCUCUCUGAUUUUUCAGGCUGUCAAUUGAUUAAAUCCUAUGAUCGUAUCUAGGGUUGUCUAUUGAUUAGGGAAAUAUCCAACGGUCGUACCUUGGUUAUCAACUAGUUAAGGAGAGAUUGGCUAUUAGAGGGUCUCAGUAGCUAUAACCGGUCUAUUUAUAAGUAAUAAUAAUCUAUAUUUGAAUCAAUGAUCAGUAGUCGAAUCAAGCUGAGUUAAUUCCUUCAACCAGAGCUUUCUCCAAUUUGAAUUACAACUUUAAUUUGCAUUCUUGUUAUUUUAAUUUGAUUUUUAUUAUUGUCAAUAAUUUCCCCAUUUUACGUUUUACGUUUCAAAAGGAUUUAAAUAAUUACCGAUAUCUGUGGACACGACCCUGCUCAAUCACUAUACAUAAUUUAUUUAAAGUAGGAAUUUAUUUUUGUUGGCUUCGACAAGCAUCAAACAUCUGAGAGUGAGUGAACAAUGUGAAGUGUGAAGUGUGAACUGGUGAGUGGUGACUGACUGACUGCAUUGGUGAUCCGAAGUCCGAAGUCUGAAGUCCGAACAUGAGUUAAACGUAUUUUUUUAGCACUUUAGCUUAUUUAUUUAAUUUUCUUUUUUUUUUGUUUAUAGUGCAGAUCCGAUCGGAUGAUUUGGAUUGAUCCAAAUCCGAACCAAAUCCGAUCGGAUCGCACAAACUUCAUCCAAUCGGAUUUGCCUUCAAAUCCGAAUCCAAUCCGAAUUAGUUUGGAUCAGAUCGGAUCGGAUCGGAUUUAUCCGAAUCCGAUCUGAUGCCCACCCCUAACUAGUACAUUGACAAUGAGGGACAUCACUGAAAUAUUUCCUGAUGAACAGUUGUUGGCAAUACAGCAAGCACAGACGCUGCAGUAGUCAGGACCCCCCUAGUAUGCAGAUUUUGCUAACUACUUAGUAAGUGAAAUGCUACCACCUGAGCUAAAGUUUCAGGAGAAAAAUAAAUUUCUUCAUGAUGUUAGAAGCUAUCAGUGGGAUGAUCCACAUUUAUAUAAGUCAUGCUCAGAUCAAGUAAUACAAAAAUGUGCUUCUGAAGGAGAAAUACGCCACAUACUAGAGUCAUGCCAUGCUGCAGCAUAUGGAGGACAUUUUGGUGGUCAUAGAACAGCUGCUAAAGUUCUGCAAUCAGGUUAUUACUGGCCCACUAUUUUUAAAGAUGCUUAUGAAUUUGUUAAAUAUUGUGACAAGUGUCAAAGGACAGGGAACAUAACUAAAAGACAUGAAAUGCCAUUGACUAGCAUUCUAGAAGUGGAAGUUUUUUAUGUCUGGGGAAUAGAUUUUAUGGGACCUUUCCCACCAUCCUUUGGGAACUUAUAUAUCCUUGUUGCUGUGGAUUAUGUCUCCAAGUGGGUAAAAGCUGCAGCAUUACCUACCAAUGAUGCUAAAACAGUGGUGGCUUUUCUUCAGAAAGACAUUUUUUCUAGGUUUGGCACUCUUAGAGCAAUUAUUAGUGAUGAGGGUACACAUUUUUGCAAUAAAGUCUUUGCUGCAGCUAUGGUGAAAUAUGGAGUCAGACACAAGAUAGCAACAACAUAUCACCCACAAUCUAAUGGUCAGGCUAAAGUGUCCAACAGAGAAAUUAAAAAGAUUUUAGAAAAAAUGGUGAACCCAACAAGGAAGGACUGGUCUUUACAGUUACAUGACUCUUUAUGGGCCUAUAGAACAGCAUACAAAACUCCACUCGGUAUGUCUCCUUACCGAAUUGUUUAUGGAAAGGCUUGUCAUUUGUCACUAGAGCUAGAGAAUAAAACACACUGGGCACUGAAGAAAUUAAAUUGGGACAUUCAUGCUGCAGCAGAGCAAAAGAAGCUUCAACUUUGUGAGCUUGAUGAAUUACGGCUAUUUUCAUAUGAAAAUGCAAGAAUCUAUAAAGAGAGGACAAAACAUUGGCAUGACAAGCAUAUUCAACACAUUUACUUCAGUCCUUGUCAAUUAGUGUUGCUCCACAAUACAAGACUAAGAUUAUUUCCGGGAAAGCUAAAAUCACGAUGGUCUGGCCCUUUUAAGCUGUUAAAAUUUUAUCAUCAUGGAGCUGUUAAUCUUCUAGAUGAACAAACAGGUCAAGAAUUUAAAGUUAAUGGACACAGGGUUAAGUAUUACAUACACCCAGCGGCAGAUUGUUCAAAGGAGGUGUUACUCCUUAAAGAACCCAGCUAUUGAGCAAUGAAAGAAGGUCAGGCUGAAGGACCUUAAAUCAAGCGCUCCAUGGGAGGCAACCCAUUGUGGAGACAGCCACCUCAACCCAAGUUUGAUCUCCUUUGGUUUUGUUGACAACUCUCCCUCUUUACCAUUUUAUUUGAUUUUGUUCUUCCAUUCUAGUUAUUUAGUUUUAUCCUUUCACAUUAUUGCAUUCUUUACUUUUGCUAUCAUUUGAUCUCUUUAUUUUUUAAAUUAAUUUUAGAAUUAAUUUUAGUGUGUGGGAAGUAUGUGUAGCAAUUGAAUUCCGUAUUGACAAGUGAGGUUGUAUGGUGGCAGAGUACAGAGGUGAGCCACGUGUCAAAGGGCUUUCGUGUAGAGUAUGUAACCGCUGCAUGAGUAAGCGAAUAGGUGCUGCAGCAACCAAUUUUAUCGUUACAGUAAAUUAAAAGAUGGAGCCUCUCACUUACCGUUGGAGACAAAUCAUGACAAAUGGAGGCAUGAAUGUGAUAGAAAUUGCGAAAAAAUCUCCGAAAUUAAUGCCUUAAUUUCACUGGCCGAUGUUUUUGGGCUAUGCACAUUAAAUUCAAAAUAAUUUCUUCCCUCAUUUAUCUUUAGUUACCGUAUUUAUCUUCAAUUAAAGUCCACUAUAAAAAGGAGUCAUUGUGCGUAGUGCUCUACGACACUAUUCCUCAUCUCCUUCGCAAAGUACAACUCUCAUAAUUCUUAACCUCUUAUUCUGAUUUUACUCUCAGGGACAUUAGCCUCAAUAUGUUACUGCUACAGCAAUGCCGAGGUAUAAGAAAACAGCUAGCCGCCUCAAAGAUUCGUCACGCUUCCAGAGUGAAAGAAGGUCAGGCUGAAGGACCUUAAAUCAAGCGCUCCAUGGGAGGCAACCCAUUGUGGAGACAGACACCUCAACCCAAGUUUGAUCUCCUUUGGUUUUGUUGAGAGCUCUCCCUCUUUACCAUUUUAUUUGAUUUUGUUCUUCCAUUCUAGUUAUUUAGUUUUAUCCUUUCACAUUAUUGCAUUCUUUACUUUUGUUAUCAUUUGAUAUCUUUAUUUUUUAAAUUAAUUUUAGAAUUAAUUUUAGUGUGUGGGAAGUAUGUGUAGCAAUUGAAUUCCAUAUUGACAAGUGAGGUUGUAUAAUGGCGGAGUGCAGAGGUGAGCCACGUGUCAAAGGGCUUUAGUGUGGAGUAUGUAACCGUUGCUAGAGUAAGCGAAUGGGUGCUGCAGUAACCAAUUUUACCGUUACAGUAAAUUAAAAGAUGGAGCCUCUCACUUACCGUUGGAGACAAAUCAUGACAGAUGGAGGCAUGAAUGUGAUAGAAAUUGCGAAAAAAUCUCCGAAAUUAAUGCCUUAAUUUCACUGGCUGAUGUUUUUGGGAUAUGCACAUUAAAUUCAAAAUAAUUUCUUCCCUUAUUUAUCUUUAGUUACCGUAUUUAUCUUCAAUUAAAGUCCACUAUAAAAAUGAGUCAUUGUGCGUAGUGCUCUACGACACUAUUCCUCAUCUCCUUCGCAAAGUACAACUCUUAUAAUUCUUAACCUCUUCUUCUCAUUUUACUCUCAGGGACAUUAGCCUCAAUUUGUUACUGCUACAGCAAUGCCGAGGUAUAAGAAAACAGCUAGCCGCCUCAAAGAUCCGUCACGCUUCCAGAGUUACCACGCCGAAGAAAAAUAUGAAGAAUUCAUAGAGCCGCGUAAAAUUCUGGAAGAAAAAGGGUUUCAAUUUCCAGAACGACUCACUGGAAUUGUGCAAACAAUACACAAUGCUGCAGCAAAGCGAGGAUGGUUAGAGUUUUGCAACCACCCUUGAGAUCUUGUGCUACCAGUAGUCAAAGAAUUUUACGUUAAUUUGGUAAGCCCAGAUCAGCACAACAUUUGGGUAAGAAAUACACUUGUUCCAUUAUACUCCCGCGUUAUAAAUGCUUUUUAUAAUUUACCUACUGAAAUUAAUUGUGAGUAUGCGAAGUUGCUUGGUAAAUUGACCACGAAAAAAUGGAACACCAUUUUCACAACUCUUACAAUCGAAGGGGCAUCGUGGGCCAACGAGGAAGGACGUGUAGUUAAUAGGAUAGAUUUGAAACCUAUUGCUAAGGUGUGGGUCAAAUUUCUGAAAUCUAAGCUUAUGCCAACCACUCACACUACUACGGUUUCACAAGAGAGGUUGGUCUUGCUAUAUGUCAUUAUUCGAGGGCUUCCCAUAGAUGUGGGUAGCAUCAUCGCAACAGAAAUAUGAGAUUGUGCAGUUAAGACUCACAGGACGGCUGCCUUGCUAUUUUCUUCACUUAUCACCAGCAUUUGUGUAGUUUCCGGUGUUCGUCUUGACGCAAGAGAUGACCAUAUCAGGAAUGAUAGUGCCUUUACGGCACGUACCAUUGAGAGAGUUGCUGGAAAGAGUGCUGGAACAACAACUGAACCAGCUGUUGUAACAGGAGCGAGACGAGCUAUUGGUUUAGAAUAGAUAAUCCAGGCACUCAGCACAAGUAUAACUCAAUGUGCUGAAGCUCAGCAGAGGGAAAACGAUCGGUUUUAGAGUUAUCUACAGCACCUGGACAACCAAUUACACCAAUUCGUUCUGUACAUGAAACACACUCACCGGAACUUCCCUGAUUCAUUGCUCCAGCAGUACAAUUUUGUCACCAACGCCACAGGAGCUCCAACAGAAGCCAGUGAAGAAGCCACUACCCCAGAUGAACCAAAAAAAGAAGCUGCAGCUGAACCACAAGCAGAGGUAGAAUUAGAAAAUGAGGAUCCAUCUGAUCAACCUGAGGAAGAAUGUGACAAGUCUGAAACUAAGAGCUCAUCAACAGAAGCAAAGGACAACUCUGAGAAAUAACAUGAGGAACCUUCCAUCCCCACUCAGUCUACGACCAGAAAAAGGCACAUUAUUCAAGAAGAUGAGGAGAAAGACCCUGAAGAGGAACCGUCCAUUACAGUCCUUGCGAGCAAAGGUAAAGGCAAGGGUAAAGCAAAAAUGGCAACACCUCCAGCCUCUGAAGAUGAAAUGGAGCAAGUUGAUGCCAAGCUGGCUGCUGCAACAACCAGAGUUACGCCUACACCUGCAGAAGCCAAGCAGCUACUUGAUAUCAUUGCUGCCAUCACAGCUGAGGGUCAGGCAGCUAAUGCGUCAACUCUAAUUCCUCCACAGCAAACUCCUAGCCAGCCUAUUCGUACUAGUCCGCGACAAUCCAGUAAAAGAAAAGGCAAUACAUCUAAAGGCACUGCUACAGCAACCUCGCCACAACCAAAACGGACCAAAUCAGUGGCAAGCACGCCAGCUACCCCAGCCACAACUCCUCUCACCAGCCCCGUGAAGAAAAAGACAAAGGCAUUGCCAGCUACUUCCCCACAAGCUUCCCCAAAGGAUAAGCUGCGCAGUGCAUCCAAAAAGCGCUGAUAGCAUCCCGUCAUGUGUCGCAGUCCCCACAACAGGGGUGUAUUCUUUCCUUGCUAGUUCAUUAUAAAAAAAAAAAACCAACUUUUCUUUCCUUAUGUUUUUUUAGUUUGUAUGGUGUUUUCUAAAGUCUUCCAUAUCCGUGUGAACUCGUGUACCUUUGUUCUGUAUGCUUCUGAGGACACAGCAAUUCUCAAGUUUGGGGGGAUUAUGUUUCCAAAUGCAUGUGUUUAUGUUUGUUAUGUUAUCUAAUAUUUGUGUAUGGAUUUGAAAACCUAAUGAAGAUAAAUUGAGUGUUAUUUAGUAUUUAUGAGAAUGCCAAGUAGAGAUAGUUAUAUAUUGAAGUGAAAUUAUGUCCUGACACUUAGACUUUGGUUGAAUUGUAUGAGACUGCUAGAGCAGAGCCAAAAGAAUAGACAAGAUUUUAAGUUUGGGGGGAAAAGCAAGUUUGAUUGACUGUGAUAUCUAUAAAAUGAACUCUGUUCCAAUGGCUCAAGUUGCUGAGUAACCAGAUCUGAGUAUGUACCUUAUAUGCAGAAUUGUGUUCAAAGGUAGCGAGAGUUAUGAGCAGUGCUGCAGCACACAUAUUAAAAAAAAAAAGAGAAAAAGAAGUCCUCUGUCUAAGGAAUUGAGUACCCAGGUCUGUUCAUGAGCCCCAUGUUCAGCCUUGAGUAAAAGAUACCUCUAGAUAAGAUUAUAUUAUAGAUACUGCUGUAACAACUCUGAUCUGGGCAUGGUUUGAGUAAUUGGGUGUCAUCAUUACAAUUGAUUGACAUUUACAUGAAAGAUAAAUGUUACAGUGAGAAGGUUGAAUAAUCCCCAGUUUAUCAAUCUUAAAAUAAUCACAGUUAUGAAAAAUUUAUGCUACCCCAGUUAUGAAUAAAGUGUUAUCACUGCUGAAAUUCAUGCAGUCCCUUGGUGAUGUUAUAGCAUCUCUGGAAUUCAAUCAAAGGUGCACACACACACUAUGGACAGAAAGAAGCUUAAGUCUAGAACUGAUUUACUAUGGUCAUUUUGCAUGAUUGGGAUUGUGAUCUGAAGGUGGAAGAAUCCUUGCAAAUUUGAUAAAAGAGCUAAAGUUGUGUGCAUGAGUGUUUGCGUGAAGUGUUAGUAUGUGUCAUUACUUGAGGGCAAGUAACGGUUUAAGUUUGGGGUGUGAUAAGUCUAAGAAAUGAGAGUUAUUACAUCCUUUCUAGACUUAAAUCAAGAUCAUUUAGAGAUCAAAUAAGGUGUUUUUAUUACAUUUUGGUUACAUUUUGCAUAAACAUUCAUUUGAGUUGAGUUUUAAUAAGUUUUUCUUGAAUCAAAGUAAUUUGUGCUAAAAAUAGGUAUAUAAUUGUAGGUUUUCAGAAAGUCUUAAUUUAUGAGGGGAUGUUGAGACAUUAGAUGAGCAAGAAGAGGAAAGAAGAUGGCCACAAAAGAAGUAAAACACAAUCGGGAAUAGUGCAGUGUGGUUGCGGAUGUUAGAGCAACUAGUGCUGUAGCAAUCUGGGAGUAAUGUGGGAGAAAACUUAGGCGCGGGUCAGCCACAAAAUCGCAAUCUGCAUGUUUCCUAAUUUAACGAAUGCACGUUCAUGGGCUUUUGUUUACCCUAAUUUGCAAUAUAAAAGGGAGGCGUGCACGACAUAGAAAGGCGGCAAUGGAAUUAUCAUUAGAUUAAUUUCAAAGGAAAGAAGAAGAAGAUCAUAAUUGGAGAGUGUUGUUUCGGCAACAUUGAAGAAUCGUGCAGAAUUAUUUGGAUUUGUUUUUUACCGUGCUCAACUUAUAUUUAUCUUUUUUCUUUAAUUGUUUAAUGUAUCCCUUGAACAAUAUAUUUAUGUUUAUUUUUCUCAUUCAGAAUAUGAACUAAAUUUACUCAUAAUUGAGUGACAAAUAAUUCAUUGGGUUCUUGACUGUUCUUAUAUGUUGUUAUGUCAUUGCUGUAGCAUUUUACUCUAGUAGUUUUUAUGAAUAUAACUGUUAUUUCGGUUGACCACCCAUUUGAUAGUUUCAGUUAAGAUAGAGCAGCACAAGGGCAUAUCUUAGCGGAUAUUAUUAGAGUAUUACUUGAUCUUAAGUUCAGUUUCUUGGAUUAAGUUAUCUUGAAUCCCAUAAGGGCAAUACUUGAAGUUGAGAUUUGUGACACACUAGACAUAGGUGUUCACUUUGUAGGGUGGAGAGACUAAAGAUCAUAAUGUCAUGCCAUAAAUAGAUUAGCAACUGGUCAUUGUUAGUAGAUUUAAGGGUAUGAGACUUCCAAUAUGCGAUAGCUGAGGAUGCAGAUUUAUUCUGCCCAGUGAUGCAGCACUUGCCGUAAUAACUGGUGCUAAUUUUAUAAAAAAAAGUCACCCCCAUAAGGAGAGUUUGAUCAUUCAACUACCAUAAUCUCAAUUGAAUCUUAGACACAUUUCACAUAGUUUAUUUCAUUACGGUAUUAUUUUAUUUAAUUCUCUCACAUCCAUUAAUUACGAUAGAAAUUACUUUACAAUUGUUAGCUUCGGCCUUAAGUUGAUUUGCACUAUUGUGAUUGCUAUAACAUUUUGAGUAACAUCAAUCCUUGUAGAGACGAUCUUGAUUACUUAUCACUUUAUUACUUGUUGUGUAGACUUGCACAUUGGCAUUGGUAGCAAUUGCUUAUAAAAUUAACCAACAUGAACCAAUCCCAACACGAAUUCCAUCUAGUUGGCGCAUGUGCAUUGAUUACAAAAAAUUAAAUGAUGCCACUAGAAAAGAUCAUUUUCCCCUUCCAUUUCUAGACCAAAUUCUCGAAAGAGUAGCUGGACAUCCCUACUAUUGCUUUUUUGAUGGCUACUCUGGCUAUUAUCAAAUCCCUAUAGCCUUAGAAGACUAGGAAAAGACCACAUUCACAUGCCCAUUUGGAACAUUUGCAUUUAGGAGAAUGCCCUUUGGACUUUGUAAUGCUUCUGCAACAUUUCAAAGGUGCAUGCUAAGUAUUUUUAGUGACAUGAUUGAAAAUUGUUUAGAGGUUUUUAUGGAUGAUUUAACUGUAUUUGGUAAUUCUUUUGAUACAUGUCUUGAUAAUCUAGAAAAGGUUUUGGAAAGGUGCAAAGAAAAAGGACUAGUUUUAAAUUGGGAAAAAUGUCAUUUCAUGACCACUUCUGGAAUUGUCUUGGGCCAUGUUGUGUCUUCAAAAGGAAUUGAAGUUGACAAAGCCAAAGUUAAAGUCAUUUCAAAAUUACCCUCACCAAAGACAAUUAGAGAAGUCCGUUCCUUUUUAGGACAUGCAGGAUUUUAUAGGAGGUUUAUAAAAGACUUUAGUGUCAUAUCUAGACCACUUUGUAACCUCCUAAUAAAAGACACACCUUUUGAAUGGACUUAAGAUUGUCAACAAGCUUUUGAAAAAAUAACUACUCUUUUGACAUCAGCCCCAAUAAUGCAACCCCCUGAUUGGUCUUUACCUUUUGAGCUAAUGUGUGAUGCUAGUGAUUAUGCAGUUGGCACUGUUCUGGGUCAAAGAAAGGAAGGUAAGCCCUUUGUCAUCUAUUAUGCAAGUAGAACUUUGAAUAGUGCUCAAAUGAAUUACACUACAACUGAGAAAGAACUACUUGCUGUAAUAUUUACAUUGGAUAAAUUUCGUUCGUAUUUAAUUGAUUCAUCCACUAUUGUUUAUUCUGAUCAUGCUGCUGUGAGAUAUUUAAUGUCAAAACAGGAUGCCAAACCAAGGUUGAUACGAUGGAUUUUGCUACUUCAAGAAUUUAACUUGACAAUUAAGGACAAAAAGGGCGCUGAAAAUGUUGUUGUAGAUCAUCUUUCAAGACUUACGAAUGAGUUUUCAAUUGAAACAACACCCAUCAAUGAUUCUUUCCCUGAUGAAUUUUUAUUUUCUAUAAACAAAAUGCAUUGGUACGUUAAUAUUGUUAAUUAUCUUGCAACAGGUGAAAUGCCAUGUGACUGGAGUUCCCAGGACAAGAAGAAAUUCUUAACAGAAGUGAGAAGCUUUUACUGGGAUGAUCCAUACCUGUUCAAGUACUGCUCUAAUCAAAUUUUUCGAAGAUGCAUACCAGACGACGAGGUAAGUAGGGUCAUUCAAUUUUGUCAUUCUGAAGCAUGCGGUGACCAUUUUUCUUCAAAAAAGACAGCUGUAAAAAAUAUUACAGUGUGAAUUUUAUUGGCCUACAUUAUUUAAAGAUUCACAUACAUUUUGUAAAAUGUGUAAGAAUUGUCAAAUGGUAGGGUCUAUUUCAAAGCGAAACAUGAUGCCUUUAAACCCCAUCCUUGUCAUUGAAAUAUUUGAUUGUUGGGGAAUUGAUUUUAUGGGCUCUUUUCCAUCAUCAUUUGGAUUUGUAUACAUUUUGGUUGCUGUUGAUUAUGUUUCAAAAUGGAUCGAGGCAAUUCCUUGUCGGCACAAUGAUUACAAGAUUGUGAUCCGCUUUUUAAAAGAAAAUCUUUUGACCAGAUUUUGAAUACCUCGAGCCAUCAUCAGUGAUGAAGGUAAAUAUUUUUGUAAUAAGCCAUUUGAGUCCGUAAUGAAGAAAUAUAGAAUUACACAUAAAGUUACUACCCCUUAUCACCCUCAAACAAGUGGUCAAGUUGAAUUAACAAAUAUGGAGAUAAAACAAAUUUUAGAAAAAACAGUUAAUCCAAACCGUAAAUAUUGGUCUCUUCGACUAACUGAUGCACUUUGGGCAUAUUGUACUGUUUUUAAAACAUCUUUAGGAAUGUCACCCUGUCGGCUUGUUUAUGGAAAAUCUUACCAUUUACCUGUUGAACUUGAACAUAAAUCAUUUUGGGUCAUUAAAGCUUUUAAUUCAAAUCUUGAUGAUGCUGGUAAUGUGCGUAAAUUGCAAUUAAAUGAACUUGAGGAAUUAAGGAAUGAUGUAUAUGAGAAUUCCAGAAUUAUUAAGGCAAGAACCAAAUUUUUUCACGACAAAAGAAUUUUUCGGAAAACAUUUGAAAUUGGUCAAAAAGUGUUGCUUUAUAAUUCUCGUCUUCAUUUAUUUCUAGAGAAGUUAAAGUCAAAGUGGAAUGGUCCAUUUGUUGUAAACAAUGUGUAUCCAUAUGGAGCCGUAGAAAUUGAGAAUGCAAAGGAUGGUAUCACAUUUAAAGUUAAUGGUCAAAGAUUGAAACCAUAUCUGGUACCAACCACGUGAAACAGAUACCGAAAUCAAUUUGAGUGACCCACCAAAUUUUGAUUAAGCCUUUUCAUUUUAACUUUUUGUGAAAUUGAUUUACUGUUACUUUAUCGUUUAAAUUGUUUGAUUUUUUUUUCUUUUUUCUUUUCCUUAUGUCUUGAAUGGAGUGCAUUGCAUUGUUUUAAUUGUGUGUUGUUUGACAAUUGUGAUUUAGCGCACGAAAUUUUUAUACUUGUCAUGAGUGCCUCUAUGAGAAAUUUCCUUUUCGAUCAUCUUAAAACGCUUUUACAUAUAAAAUUUCAUUUGAGGAAAUUGCUCUGAUUUUGUAAAUCACAUCCCAUUUGGGAUCUACAACCACCAGAGUUAGUAUUCCACGUGAAAGAUCUAGAAAGACAACUCAAGGAAAUAUAGGAUGGUAUUUAUAAUCUGCAAUUGGAACUGGAUGUAAAUUCAAUAAAAGGACGAUGGUGAGUUAUAUUCCUUGUGUGUUUUUGUUUUAUUUUGCAGAUUUGAUUCGUUUUGUUUUGAUUCACUCUCCCGUAUAAAUGGCGGAUAACGGUACUCCGUGACUUUUUAAGUCGGUAUUCUCAGUUUCCAACAAUAACUGAAACCUCAAUGUCAAGCAUGGAAGAAAUACAACGAAAUUUGUAUCAACGUUGUCCUUCUCUCCCUCAAAAUGCUCUUAAGAAGAUUUACAAAGCUCGUUGUGAACGACUACGUUUGUUAAUGAUCAAUGGGAUUCCUGCUGACAUUCGCUGGUUAAUUGAAGCAAAGGUCUGAUUGGCAGGUGAGUUUUCUGAUCCAUUCAUUCCUACAUGCCUAGUUUUGGUAAAAGUACAUUUGCUAAGAAAAGAAGAGCUAAGCCACUUGGCUCUGAAUGGUCUCACUGUGUAAGACUUGCUUACAAAAAGCCACGUUGUAAAGAUUUAGGAAUAGUUUAUGUAAAUCGUGAAGAUAAAAUCAAAUUCGUUAAGGAUGGCAUGAGUAAAGAAUCGUUGGAUGAUAUCUUACGAUCUCUUGAGAUGCAUCCGAGCGGAUACGUUCAACGUGAAAUUCAAAAUUUUUGGAAGUUGUUCCAAAAAGAAAGUGCACAGUUUAGUCUUGGGAAUCUGACUCUAAAAUACCAUGUUUGCCAGUUUAUAAGAAAACUGGAUGGGAAGCAUAUCCUCGACCCAUAGAGGGCGUUAAAGCUGUUACUGGACGUAAAACCAGAGGAAGAUGUAAGCCACAAUUACAACUACCAGUAAAUAUCCUUUUAUUUUUCUGUUCUUUUAUCUUUUGCAUUAUUAUUAUUAUUGUGUGUCUUUUUUUAUCUAAUCACUGUUUUUUUUUCUUUUUACUGUUUUCCUUUGAAUUAUUAAGCUAAAAGCUUCACACGUCAUUUGACAAACACACCACCCCAUUUACAGAUAUAUAUCAUUAUGUCAAUCACCAAGAUCCUUAAAUAAGAGCUUCUUUUCAAGCACUCACAAAUUGUUUCUUUUUAGAAUUGUUCUAAUGGCAGCAACUUUAAGCAGUCAACUUAAAAACAUUUGUGUGCUUUCUGGAUUUCGCUAUGGAAAGUAUAAGGAGUUCGUUCAGGUAGCCGUAGAUCUUGGUCGUGGUAUAGCAUAGAGGAAACUACAUCUUGUAUAUGGAGGAGGUGACUAAGGGUUAUCAAAGCUUGUCUCUGAAGCUGCUUUCGUUCGAGGAAGCCAAGUGCUAGGCAUCAUUCCAAAAGCCUUAAAACCUUUAGGAUGUCUACCAAACCCACCAACUGGAGAAGAGUUAGUUGUCUCAGGUAUGCAAGAAAGAAUAUCUAAAAUGUUAAAUCAUGCUGACGCCUUCAUUUUCUUGCCAGGAGACCUUGCAACUUCAAAGGCGCUAAUUAUAUUUGCUUCUUGGGCCCAUUUGAAUAUUCAUCAAAAACUUAUCGGUUUGUUAAAUGUUAAUAACUUUUAUGAUAGCUUAAUAACAUUUCUUAAUCAUGCAAUAAAAAAAUUACUUCAUUCUAUCCUCAGCGAAAACACUCUUCAUUUGUGCUCCUACUGCUAAUGAGUUACUUGAUCUUUUGCAAGCUUACAAACCAGAGCCAGAUCCCAUGACUUUGGCGUUGGAUUGGGCAACUGAUGACUAUGGCAGUAACUCUCGUAGAAAGCAUAAAUUAGAUUUAACUCUCCGUUUGUAAAUAUUUCCAACAGUGGCCAUAUGAUAUCUUCUAAACUCUAUUCCUUUCUUUAGACAUUGAGGACAAUGUCUCUUUCAGGUUGGGGGGAGGAAAUAGUUGAUAAUUGUGGAAUGUCUCAGUCCUCGUGAUGUUUUUACUAAUUUUUGUUGUAAAGACUAACUUUGGAUAAAAAUUUAAGUCGAAGAUGGCAGAAUAUAGAAUGUACUGUCUCUAGAAAUGCAUCUUUUUAAGUUUAGUGUUUUGUUUCUAAAAAAAAAUGUCUUCUAAAGUUUUGUUUUCGGUCUUUUUUCUCUUUUUCUCUUAAUCAUCUCCCUUAAGUUUCUGCAAUCAGUCCCAAUUUCUUUUAGUGUUUCUUUAACAAAAAAAAAAAAAGAGUUUUCUUUUUCGGUGUGAUCUUUUAACAUUGGAUAACAUGACGAUUUUUAAAUUUUGGUAUUUGUAUUAUCUUUGGCCUUGAGUUAUGUUACACUAUGUUUUCCCUUUUGCAUGUUGAAACGUAAAUUGAGAAAUUGGAUGAGUGAAAUUGAUUAAGUCAUUUGGAGGAAUGUACAUGUUAUGAAAAGACCAAGUGAGUUUUUGAUCCUAUUAUCCUUGGAGAGUAACAUUGUCUGCCUACAGCUUCACAAUUUAUUGUACAAGAUCUCAAUAUUUUCUUUUAAAAAAAAAGUUUGUACAGCCGCAUCUAAAAGUCCAUUGAACUAGUGAAUAUGAAAGAUUAUAUAGAGCCCUAAAAGAUGACAGAAGGACAUCUUUGAUUUGUUUGAGCCUUUCUAGCCACCCUAUUAUAAAGAAUCCAUAGUUAACCCCUUUGAGCCUUUGAAAAAAAAAAAAUUUCUUUGGUAACCUAUCAUAUUUUCCUACUCCAAUGAGGAGUAUCACCUUAUGUUUUAUGUUUUUCAUCAUCCAAUUAUAUUUGAAAAUAGGGAUGAUUAUGUAUUCCUAAUAAUGGUGCUAUAAAAAAAAGAGAUGAUAUGUAUAUAUGAAUAAACAAAAUAAAAAAAAAUCCAAGCAAAACGAAAAAAAAAAGCACAUUGUAAUCUCCAAAAAGUCUUCUAUUUUUCAAAUAUAUAUUUUUGUUUUCCUUAUUAUUUUUUUUUUGUUAGCCAUGACCCUAGCCUACGUUACGUCCUAAUAAAAGUCCUCGAUUUUUGGGAACUAUAGUGUAAAGUAAAAGCUGGUAAUAUGGACUAAAAGAUGUGGUGAUGCAUAAAAAUAAAAAUAAAUUUUGCUAGUAAUUCCUUGGACUUGAGAUCAGUUUAUUUCUAAGUUGUAGGCAUUAUUUUCAUCUUAGUGAGAGCGUAUGAUAUUGUUUUAUUAUUUUUUCAAAUUUACCAAUUUUUUCAGAGUGACAAAUUAAUUUAGGGUAUAUCUUCUUUUAAGAGCGUCACUCUUAAUCGUGAGAUUUUGGGGUUUGAUGUAUCAUUCUUAAAAGUGGCUUGAUUAAUAUAGCUCUGAUAAUUGAUUAUUUUACAGGAUUUUACUAAAUUAUUUUGUGCGGGUAUGAUUUUCUUUAGGCUGAAGAUAAUACUUAUACUUUUAUUUGAUUGUUGUCAUUAAUCUGAUGGAAGAAGUAAACACAAUUUUCAAAAAAAAAAAAAAUUUCAAUUUGAGUUUGAAAUUUUACUAAACUUUUAUCGCUUAAAUUGUUAGGGCCUAGCAAUAAGCUGGUUGGGGGGUGUGAUUGACGCUAAAAAGUGUACAUUUAAUAAGGAUAAAAUUAUUAGUUUUUCACUUAUUGUGCCGAUUAAUGCGUUCAUUAUUUCUAAAUUAUUUUAAUACUCUCCAAAUAUAUUUUAUGUUAAAUUAAUUCGCAAUUUGUUAAUUUCUAUCUUAUAAAUAUUUUUCAGGAAUAAAGAUGGAAUUAGAAUUGAAAGCGGGAAUAAACAAGAACUACUGAAACACAAUUGAGGAGAUGUAAUAAUAAAAAAAUAAAAAAAUAAAAAAUAAAAACAAAAAAAAAACAAAAAAAAACAAAAAAAACAAAAAAAACAAAAAAAACAAAAAAAGAACAAAAGGACAAAAGAGCAAAAGGCAACCAUGUUUUGAUUGCCUGUGAUGGUCAGAAGGCCAUCACGCCUCCUGGCCAUCACACUUCUCAACAUUCAUUUAAUUUAUAAAAAAAUAAAUUAAUAAUAAAUUAAAUAAGAAUAAAAAGAAUGACGAGGAGGCAAUUGUUGCCUAUAAAAGACGGAGUAUUGAGAAGCCAGAGAGCUAUUAUUUUUUGAGGAGCUUAACCCGAGAGAGAAUAGAGUGCAGCUGAAGAAUUUCUUUCUUUCUUUGUUUCUUUUCUUUUCUUGUUUUCGUUUGUAAUCAACUUGAAAUUCUAGUUAUGCAACCCAAGAGGGGGGGUGAAUUGGGAUUCUAAAAAUUAUUCAAUUCUAAAAAAACGAAUUUAAAGCAAUAACAAUUAAAUCAAUCACAAUAUAAAAAGAUAAGGGAAGAGAGAUUCAAACACAAAGAUUUUUACGUAUUUCGGCCAACCUCGCCUACGUCCACGCCUCCAAGCUUUCCGGGCUUGAGGAUUUCACUAAGCAAGCCUCCAAGGCUUCAAAUGCUUACACUUGACUUCCAAGGUGUCAAUGAACCUUUACAACAAGAGAUUAUCCCCAAUCUCUUAACUCAAGUAUAUUCCAACACUUACAAUCACUCAAAGUAAAAGAUUACAAAUUGUUUUUCUCUCACACAAUAUUUAAGAUUACAAAUCAAUGCCCAAUGUGUGAAUAGAUGAAGCAAGAAUGUGUUUAAAGUUCUAUGAAGAUUGUAUUCUUGAAUAUAAGCUCAAUGGUCGUGUUGUGAUCAAUUUUUUUUGAAUUUGAAUGAGCUUAUUUAUAGUUGGAGCUGAAAAACUAGCUGUAACAGACUGUCUGCCCGAAAAUGGUUCACCGUUAACCAUUAACGGUUAACCGUUUAGGCUGGUCAAAAAUUACCGUUGGGCCAAAUUUCAAAUAAACGGUUUACCGUUUAGGCUUACCCUUUCGCCGUUAAAUUUCAGAGACCUGCAAAACAAAUUUGGUUUAACCGUUCUUACUAAACGGUUCAAGGUUAGCAAUCUGGAAAUAAUCGGUUAACCGUUUUCAGUAAACGGUUCACUGUUAUUUUCCAGAAUCAUUCUUUUAACAAUACUUUGCAGAACAUGCUUUCUGGAAAUUAUCGGCUAGCCGUUUGCUACAGUGAAAUUAUUUUCUAAAUUUAUAGUUUUACCCCAAAACUUUCUAUAAUUAUACUAUGGCCCAAAUUGUCAUAAAACUUUAUAAAUAAGUCCAUUUCCAGAGUUUCAAAACUUUUUCAAUUUAGACCAUUAAUUGAAAACAACCAAUUUCAUAAAAUCAUUUUUCCAUUAAGUAUAAAGCCUUUAUAUUAUGAAAAUAAUGAUUUAUUUAAAAUAAUUUGAGCUUUUAAAAACUUAAUCAUUCUUAAUCUUGUUUGUUAUCAUCAAAAUCAACAUUAUGGAUACAUAUAUGCUAACAAUCUCCCCCUUUUUUAUGAUGACAAACCUUGAAUGUCUUUAAAGAAUGAUUCCACAAAUUGCUUCCCCUAAAUGUAAGCUUCCCUUACAAUUUGCCAAUUUACUAAAUUAACCAAUUUAAAUACAUGUAUUAUUCUCCCCUUUCAUCAUCAAAAAAGAAAACUUGAAGGAAAAGAAUAAGAGUAGCAAAUUUGUUACCCAUGUUGUCCUAGUAGAAAUUUCGACAGAAUCUCUCCCUCACAACAAGCAUUACCUCAAACACAAGUUUAAUAAUAUUACUCCCAAAUUAUUAUAAAUCAUGAUACAAGCCAACUCCAUAUAUAAAUCAUCACACCAAAAUAUCAUGAACCAUUAUUUCAUCAAUUACCAAGUCAACAACUCAUAACAUAAAAUUAUCAUAUAAAACACCCAUGUAAUCAAAUCAUCAUCAUAUCUCAAAAUCAUCACCAUAAUCACAUAUUAAUCAUCAAAACAAUAUUCAAGAGUCCAUAUUAUUCUCCUCUUUUUAACAACAUCGAAAUGGUAUAUUACUUUGUCUCCCCCUUUGGACAACCAAAAAGUUCAAAAUGCAUAUUAUCCAAAAUCAUAUUGUAUGCUCCCCCUAAAUAUAUGUCAAUUUUAAAUUUUAACCAAAAUGAUUUUAUCCAAAAAUAUAUCACAUUUAUCCCCCCCCCCUUCAUUGUAAAAAAAAAAGAGAAGAUAGAUAGAUGCAAUCGAAACAAGAUCAUCAAAAAAAUAAUUCGAUGAAGAUAUUACUCAUUUUGUGCAAGCAAAAAUUUCGGCAAAGGUUCCCCGUAAAAUGAAACAACUCCAUCAAGCAUCAGUUCACACACAAAUAAUCAUCCAACAGCAAAAGCAUCACAUAGAAAAAUCCAUCAUCAAAAUCAUUAGAAGUAGCAAUGUAUACCAAACAAAAUAUAAAUAGCAACACACAAGGAAACAUAAUAUGAAAUGUAUGUGCGAAUAUGAGAGUCAGAAACUAAGUAGGUGGUGAAGAUGUGAAAUUAUGGCUCAAUUUGGUUGAGGAAGGGCAAAAUUUCGGUUAACAUGGAGGAAAUCCGUUCGGCUGCCCUUAGGUUUUGGAUUUCUAAAGAUGAAGAGAAAUGAUUUUAUCGGUGUGAUUUGGCAAGAAAAUGAAGAAAAAAGAAGGAUUGAAGAAGGAGAAAGCUUCGACUGUGCAACAAUGGCUAAACGAUAAGAGGGCAAAUGUAGAAGGAGAAGAAACCCUUGGAACAAUUUUAUAUUUCAAGAAAACGGCGAGCCUUUUUCUGUAAACGGUGAGGGAGUAACUUCCAGAGAGCAUUUAAUGGAAAAACGGUGAAAGGUUAGUCCUUAACGGUAAAGGGGUAAAUUCCAGUGAGCUUUUUAUUUUUAAAUGGUUUACCGUUUGCCGAAAACGGUAAGGGAGUAAGGUUUAAAUCAUCAGAGCCUAGUUUCUGGAAUUAAACGGUACACCGUUUAUUGAGAAACGGUUAUCCGUUUACUUCAUCUAUAAUUUCCCAUAUUUAAUUUAAUUUUUGGCCAGCAAAUAAUACAUUCCAAAAAUCAUUUAAUUGAUCCAAAAAUGUUUUAUAAGCCAUUUUAAUGCAUGAUUCAUGAACUUACAUGUAUUCAAACAAUCAAUUCAUAUAAACAUUUAAGAAUCCAUAAAGCAAACACAUCACUUGUUUAUCAUGCUUAAGCAUUUCAUAGUCAUUAAAAUCAAACAAAUCCAUCAUGAUAAAGCACUUAAUGUUAUAAUGAAAUAUGAAAUAUUUACUAAGAUUAAAAGACCGUCACUUAUAAUCAAUAAGGUAAUAAUUGUUACCAAAACAAUUAAAUCAUCUUGCCUCAUUAUUUUUGCUUAGACUGUGAUCAAGUGAUUAUCUUCACAAGCUUCAUCAAGGAACUCUCCACCAUUCCUUGUUUGUGGUACCUACAAAAAAAUAUUCAAGUUGUGUGCUUUGGUACUGUUGUGAAAAUUUUAAUAUACUCGCAAGUGCACGAAUCUAGAAAUAGAGUAAUGGUAACGAGGUCGAUCCCACAGGGAUUGUUAUAAAUUGAAAAGUCUAAUUUAAAUCUAAAAUUAAUAUUAAUCCUAACCUAGUUGAGCAAAUUGAGUUUUAAAAGAAAUUAAACUAAGAAAACAAUUAAAGUAAAAGAGAAUUCAAUAGAAUAGAAAUUACCAAGGUUUCAUAAUCCACCACUAUUCAACUAGUAAUUAUCUAAAUAUUCAUUAAUCCCCAAUUUUAGAGUGACAACUCGAAACCAAUCUAUGUCAUCUCAUUGAUAUAACAAUUAAGCCCAAGUAAUUAAAUCUAAUGUAAGUUCUUUUUCUGCUUAAUAGUAUGGCAUCUAAGCAUCCCAUGUAAACAUAUUGAAUAACAAAGAGUCAAAGUUUCCUAAGCACUCUAUGUAAACAAUUUAAUGAAAGACAUAGAAUCAAAGAUAAUCAUGUAUAAACUUUAUAAAUCCAAGCAUAGAUUUAAUCGAAUAUUAAUCCUAACAAUCAAUAAUGCAUGACAGAAUUGAUGAAAAGAUUUUAAUAACAUCCAAUUAAUCAUGUGAAAUAAAAAUCAUAAUAUUAAAGAACAUAUAAAGGGAAUUAAAUAAAUAAAAAGAUAAUUAUUUCAUUGAAUAGGGUUUCAUCUUUAACCUCAGUAUAAGAAAAUUAGCUAAACAUACUUGAAUUGUGAGCAACAAAAGAAAUAAAUGCAGCCAUGAAAGUCGAACUACUGCAGAUUUUCUUCUUUGUCUCACGUUUUCCUCCUCUGGCGGCCCCUCUCUAUUCUAAAGCCAAAACUCCCUUUUAUAAUCUUUAAAAUAGGCCCCACCUCUUAAAUCCUAAAGCCAAAAGGCUUGGCCUUUUACUUGAUUUGCUCUCACACACGUCCUGGGCACUUAAAAUUGCUAAAUGACUCUUUUUUUCAAUUAUAAAAGCCAAGUGUGGGUCCCUUCUUAAAGCUAAAUCAAUUUCUCUCCUUUUUCCGCAUGUACAUGAUGAAUUAACUUGUUUAAUUCAGUUCCUUGGCUUGAUUUCCGCAUGCAUGUAUGUCUAAUUGCUUCCAAAAAUCAAUUAAUCUUUAAUGCUUACAAAUUGAACUCCUUUAUGCUCUUUUUAUCCAUAAUCUCCAAUUAAUUCCCUAUUCAAUAAAAUAAUUUAAUUAAUUAAAAAUAACAAAUAAAAAUAACUAGCAAUUAAAUAAUUAAGAGUAAAAUAUGUAUAUAAAUUAUGCUCAUCAGGUACCCAAAUAUUCUUGGGUCCUUGAGUGUUAGUAAUGGUUCCUUUUGGAACCCAAAUACAUGUUGCUCCAUAAUAUGCAUUUCUUUUAACUGGACAUCUAAGCUUCAUGUGACCAUUUUGAUUGCAAUAAUGGCAUACAAUUAUUAAUGGAGGUAGUUUUAAUAAAAUAACUCUUAUAAUAUUUUUGUUUCAAAUUUGGCUUAUAACCAAUACCUCCUUUGUCAAACACACAUUUCUGUAAAUUAAGCAAGUUAUCCAACAUCUUUUGCCCAUUUGUGAAUUUUAAAACAACAUCAUUAAGUUCAAGGUUCUUUUUCUUGAGCAUUUCAUUUUUCUUUUUCAAAUCAUCUACAUGUGGCUCUAGAUGCUCAUGUGAAGUGCUUGGUUUUUCAUUUGAUAAUGCAACUGUAUUAUGCAAAGUUUUAUUCUCUAUUUCAAGUCCUUUAAUCUUUUCAUUUAAUAAAUCAUUCUAUUUUUGUAAAGCAUCCUUUUUUAUUUUUUAAGUCAUCUACAUGUGAUUUUAGAUGUUCGUGUGAAGUGCUACAUUUCCCAUUUGAUAAUGCAACUUUAUCAUGCAAUGUUUUAUUCUCUAAUUCUAGGCAUAUAAUCUUUGCACUUAGAGAUUCAUUUUCAUUUGUGAGCUCUACCAUUUUCUUUUUAAGACAUGCAUUCUUUUUACCAAUUUUCAUCCACUCAUCAUACAAUUCUUUAAACGCAUCAUGUAAUUCAUCAUAAGUAGGAAGCUCAUUCUUUAAACGCAUCAUACAAUAAGAGAUUAUCCCCAAUCUCUUAACUCAAGUGUAUCCCAACACUUACAAUCACUCAAAGUAAAAGAUUACAAAUUGUUUUUCUCUCACACAAUAUUUAAGAUUACAAAUCAAUGCCCAAUGUGUGAAUAGAUGAAGCAAGAAUGUGUUUAAAGUUCUAUGAAGAUUGUAUUCUUGAAUAUAAGCUCAAUGGUCGUGUUGUGACCAAUUUUGUUUGAAUUUGAAUGAGCUUAUUUAUAGUUGGAGCUGAAAAACUAGCCAUUACAGACUGUCUGCCCAAAAACGGUUCGCCGUUAACCAUUAACGGUUAACCGUUUAGGCUGGUCAAAAGUUACCGUUAUGCCAAAUUUCAAAUAAACGGUUUGCCGUUUAGGCCUACCCUUUCGCCGUUAAAUUUCAAAGACCUGCAAAACAAAUUUGGUUUAACCGUUCUUACUAAACGGUUCAAGGUUAGCAAUCUGGAAAUAAUCAGUUAACCGUUUUCAGUAAACGGUUCACCGUUAUUUUCCAGAAUCAUCAUUUUAACAAUACUUUCCAGAAUAUACUUUCUGGAAAUUAUCAGUUAGCCAUUUUCAGUAAACGGUUAGCCGUUUGCUACAGUGAUUGCUACAGUGAAAUUAUUUUCUAAAUUUAUAUUUUUACCCCAAAACUUUCUAUAAUUAUACUAUGGCCCAAAUUGUCAUAAAACUUUACAAAUAAGUCCAUUUUCAGAGUUUCAAAACUUUUCAAUUUAGACCAUUAAUUGAAAACAACCAAUUUCAUAAAAUCAUUUUUCCAUUAAGUAUAAAGCCAUUAUAUUAUGAAAAUAAUGAUUUAUUUAAAAUAAUUUGAGCUUUUAAAAACUUAAAUCAUUCUUAAUCUUGUUUGUUAUCAUCAAAAUCAACAUUAUGGAUACAUAUAUGCUAACACAACUUUCUUGUAACGUAUUUCACAAGUUUAUCAAAUAAAUAGAGUGUUGUAUUUUCUUUCAAUAUGAAUGGCUAAUUUUAUUAAGCUGAGGUGAAAGGUGAAACUCAAUGUUUCAAACUAUUAAAUUUAUUAUUUUCUCAAAUGAGUUUAAAGUUUAUUUUAUUUUUUUCUAGUUAUUUUUAUGUCAUAUUAAUUUAUAAAUUUCUUUGGAUCUGUAUGGUAUUUUGACAUAAUGUCGACACAUUAAUAUAGUGUGGCACAUUAGGUACUUUAUUUCAUAUUUAUCCACACACAUAAUUAGUUGAGAAUUAAAUUAUAUAAUAAUUAACUGGAAAAAGUGAGACUAAAAAUGAGAGAGUAUUAAAAUUAUAGUUUGAAUACUGAGAGUGGAUCCCGUAGCCUUAGCUUAUUUUUAAAAUAAUUUAAAAUAAUUUCUUUGCCCAGCAAUUAAUUUUCUUAGUUUUACUAGAUUUAAAACUCCCUGUGGUUUGACCCCGGUCUCACCGGGUUAUAUUAUAACUAGACACUCUUAUACUUGAGAGUAAUACACUUUUGAGUCGUGUCACUCAAGCUUAUACAGAGCAACAAUGCCACGUCAGCAAUGGUUGUUAAGAAGAAUGCCAAAUCGUAUUAUAGUUCAGCAUCAGUUUGUUAGAUCAUUAUUAACGUACAAUGCAUAUGUAACAAAAAUAUAGUUAGUUACAAAUUGUUAUUGAGCAUGAAUAAAUACAGAGUUGUAACAAUUGAUUGGUUAAUGAAUGAAAUAUUCUGGAUUAAUUAGAAAUAUUUUCUUUGAGAUUCUCUCAAGCCAAACAAAACUUUCUUCAUUUCUUUCAAAAACCUCUCAAUAUUUCUUCUCUCCUCCCACCAUUUUUCUUCUCCAGUGUGUCAAGCUGCUUAGGGAGACUUUUGUUCUCCUCUUUGACUUCCAUUAAUUUCUUCCUCUUUUGAUCUGCUUAGUAGUGCCUUUCAUAACCUCAUCUUCUGCCUUAUCUAGUGCCACCUCUAAGGAAGAAAAACUUCUUUUGACUUUCUCCAAAGCCUCUGCCAACUGCUUGUUGUCAGCCAUUGCUAUAUCAAACUUUCCCUCUGGAGCUUCAUAGCAUACGAACACUUUCACAAUAUCAAAAUUAAUUUGUUCAAUCAGGUUUUUGUCAUUAAAUGAUCUAUAAUCAUCUUUCAUGUUACUGUUCUUGUAGUUAGAUUUGUGAGCGGUGUUUACUCUGCUCUUUUUUAUUAUUUGGUAUCCAUCAAUUUCUGACUGGCAUUUGCGCUCCUGCAAUCUGCUAAAUCAUAUCCGAAAAAUGAAAAAUUAAAAGUAAUUCGCGGUCAGAGAUGAUGAUUAAUGAGGUGAUAAUUAAACCACGAGAUCAUAAUUAAUUAGGCGAUAAUUUGAAUAAAAAUAAACAAAAUUUAUAUAGUGAUAUAAAGCUCAAUCAGUAUUAACUAACUCUGAACUGAAUAAAAAUUGAAUAAGUGAGGAGGAAAUUGAAAAAGAAAUCGACAGACUAAUAAAAGAAAACAACAACGAAACAAAAAUAUGAAAAAUGAGACCAUAUAACCGAAGCAUAUAAUCUAUAAUCAACAAAGCAAAAACAGAAAGUGAAUAAAAAUGAAACAGAAACUCGGGAAACAAAAGGAAAUGAGGCUUACUCAGUGUUAGGUUUGUUACGAGUGAGCUCUUUUGGUCCUGUCAUGGCCUCUUUCUUCGAAGAAACAGAGAAUGAUUUAAAAGAGAAUUCAAAUGAAAUUUGUUAAACUAAAUUAUGAAAGGCCCAGAAUCCAUGAAAAAUAUAGGCCCAAUUAAAAUAUUGCACAUAAAAUAAUCUAAACUUAUUCUCUAUAAGAACGGUAAAGGUACUUAAGAUUCUAACAAAAGUAUUUAAAUGCAAGAUAUGACAAAACAUAAAAAAUGUGAUUCAUGAAGGAAAAACCUAGGUGCAUUCUUUACAAAGAAUGACCUAGCUCUACUCUUUACAAAGAAUGACCUAACUCUACUCUUUACAAAGAAUGACAUAGGUCCACUCUUUACAAAGAAUGACUAACUUCCACUCUUUAAAAAGAAUGUCUUAGGUCCACUCUUUAUAAAAGAAUGACCUAGCUCGCCGGAGCCUCGCUUGAUCUGUCGUUGAAGCUCGUCUGAUAUAUUGUCGAAGCUUGCCUGAUCUGUCGAAGCUCACCUGGCCGUCCAAGGCUCCAAGCCGCGCAGUGUUUGUCGAAGUCUCGCUGCCUUGCUGUGACGCUGCUUGGCUUUUUGCUCCCUUAUUUCAAUUGCUUUUCUAUUUUUUCUGUUAAAUACAUGGCUUUUUUCUGGUUAAUUGGUAUUGUGGUUGAUUAUUUAAUUGUAUUUAAUGAGUUUAAUUUAAUGUAAAUUUUUUUAAAUUUGAAAAUGUUGCUAGCUUAAUUUAAUUUUUUUAUUAAUAAAUUGGUAUUGUGGUUAAAUAGUUGAAUUUUUAAAUUGUUAAUUGUUGAUGUUAUAUGUUAUUUAUGUUAAAUUGUUAAUUGUUGGAUUAUAAUUAAAUUUUAUUUGAUAUUAUUAAUUUAAUUGUUAAAUUUUUAAAUUAUAUUUAUUUAACUUUAAGUUUUGUGGAUCUGGAUAUCCGGAAUAUCCCCCGGAUCUAGUGCAAAUUUUACCUGCAUCUGGAUCCGCAAAAAAAUUUACGGAUCCGGAUAUGAAAAAGGCAAUCCGGAUCUGGAUCCGGAUUUUGCCAACCCUACCAGUAACCUAUCCUAAAACCAAUAAUCAUCCCAUGACAACCAGAAGUAAGUAUGAUAUUUUCAAACCUAAACUAUACACUACAACACUCAUUCAUAAGGAACCUGAUAUUGUAUCUGAAGCUUUACAAGAUCCUAAAUGAUUGAAAAUGUUGCUAGCUUAAUUUAAUUUUUUUUAUUAAUAACUUGGUAUUGUGGUUAAAUUGUUGAAUUUUUAAACUGUUAAUUGUUGAUGUUAUAUGUUAUUUAUGUUAAAUUGUUAAUUGUUGGAUUAUAAUUAAAUUUUAUUUGAUAUUAUUAAUUUAAUUGUUAAAAUUUUAAAUUAUAUUUAUUUAACUUUAAGUUUUGUGGAUCCGGAAUAUCCCCCGGAUCUAGUGCAAAUUUUACCUGCAUCUGGAUCCGCAAAAGAAUUUACGGAUCCGGAUAUGAAAAAGGCAAUCUGGAUCUGGAUCCGAAUUUUGCCAACCCUACCAGUAACCUGUCCUAAAACCAAUAAUCAUCCCAUGACAACCAGAAGUAAGUAUGAUAUUUUCAAACCUAAACUAUACACUGCAACACUCAUUCAUAAGGAACCUGAUAUUGUAUCUGAAGCUUUACAAGAUCCUAAAUGAUAUGAAGCUAUGAAGAAGAAUAUGCAGCCUUAAUGAAAAAUGGCACAUGAUCUCUAGUACCAAGAGCAGUUGAUCAUCGUAUAGUUGACAACAAAUGGGUGUAUAGAGUGAAGUAUAACACUGAUGGUAGUGUGGCUAUGUAUAAAACCAGAUUAGUUGCCAAAGGAUUUCAACAGAUUGUAGGAGUCAACUAUUUUGAAACCUUUAGUCCAGUGGUCAAACCAGUAACUGUCAAAGUAGUUUUGAGCUUGGCAGUGAUGAAUGGAUAGUAUAUCAAGCAAGUUGAUGUCAACAAUGCUUUCUUUAAUGGAGAAUUAACAGAAGAGGUUUACAUGUCUCAACCAGAAGGUUUCAUUGAUAAAAAGAAACCAGACUUUAUGUGCAAACUACAUAAAUCCUUGUAUGGCCUUAAACAAGCUCUUAGAGUUUGGUAUGACAAGUUGAAAAGUUGUUUGCUUCAAUGGGGUUUUGAUAUGCUUAGCAGUGCCUUUCAUAACCUAAUCUUCUGCCUUAUCUAGUGCCACCUCUAAGGAAGAAAAACUUCUUUUGACUUUCUCCAAAGCCUCUGCCAACUGCUUGUUGUCAGCCAUUGCUAUAUCAAACUUUCCCUCUAGAGCUUUAUAGCAUACGAACACUUUCACAAUAUCAAAAUUAAUUUGUUCAAUCAGGACUUUGUCAUUAAAUGAUCUAUAAUCAUCUUUCAUGUUACUGCUCUUGCAGUCAUAUUUACAAAGAAUGACCAACGUCCACUUUUUUAUAAAGAAUGACCUAGGUCCACUCUUUACAAAGAAUGACCUAGGUCCACUCUUUAAAAAGAAUGUCUUAGGUCCACUCUUUAUAAAGAAUGACAUAGGUCCAAUCUUUACGAAGAAUGACAUAAAUCCACUAUUUAUAAAGAAUGACAUAGGUCCACUCUUUACAAAGAAUUACCUAGGUCCACUCUUUAAAAAGAAUGUCUUAGGUCCACUCUUUAAAAAGAAUGUCUUAGGUCCACUCUUUAUAAAGAAUGACCUAGAUCCAAUCUUUACAAAGAAUGACAUAAGUCCAUUAUUUAUAAAGAAUGACAUAGGUCCACUUUUUACAAAGAAUGAACAAGGUCCACUCUUUACAAAGAAUGACUAAGGUCCACUCUUUACAAAGAAUGACCAAGAUCCACUCUUUACAAAAAAUGACCAAGGUCCACUCUUUACAAAAAAUGACCAAUGUCCACUCUUUACAAAAAAUGGCAAGAUCGUCUCUUUAUAAAAAAUGAAUAAGAUCCUCUCUUUAGGCUGAAGAUAAUGCUUAUACUUUUAUUUGAUUGUUGUCAUUAAUCUGAUGGAAGAAGUAAACACAAUUUUUUUUUUUUAUAAAAUAUUUCAAUUUGAGUUUGAAAUUUUACUAAACUUUUAUCGCUUAAAUUAAUAGGGCCUAACAAUAAGCUGGUUGGGGGGUGUGAUUGACAAUUUCAAAAGGUCUAAUCCAAAUCCAUAUUCUCAAACUUACAACUCUGGUUGGAAAAACCACCUAAAUUUCAGUUGGAGAAAUGAUAAUCAUGCACAACCUUCACAAUCAGUUCCUUUACGUUAAAAUUUCCAAAAUUCCCAGAGUUACCAACCCUAUGUCCCACCACCAAGAAAAACUCUGGAAGACACAUUGCAUUCGUUUAUUGAAAAAUAAGAGUCAAUCAAUAAUCAAACGAUGCAAACCUUAACCAAUUUGACAUAAAUUAUCUCUAAAUUUACAUCUGCUCUGACCAUGCAUGAAAAAGGAAAGUUUCCUGCUCAACUUGUAGCAAACCCCAAGAGUCAACAACAUCCUCAAAUGGGAUAUUCAGGAAACCAAAACAUGAGUCAAGUCAAAUCAGUUAUAACCCUUCGUGGUGGUAAAGUGGCGAAAAACACAUUGUGGACCCUCGUGAAACUAGUAAAGAUUCAAUUUCAGAAAAUAUGGAAGAGCAUGUCGAACCUUUAACCCAUGAAGAAAUAACCAACUCUUCUCUUGUACCCCCAUUUCCUCAAGCACUAAUCAAGCCAAAGAAAUCAAACCACAGUCCAAAAAUUUAUGAAGUUUUUAAACAAGUAAAGGUCAACAUUCAUCUACUGGAUGUCAUUAAAUAUGUACCUUCUUAUGCUAAAUUUCUGAAAGAUCUGUGCACGGUGAAAAGGAAACAUAAGGUGCAAAAGAGAGCUUUUCUAGCAAAACAGGUAAAUUCCAUUCUCUUAACCAAUAGUGCUUUGAAAUACAAGGAUCCUGGUUGUCCAACUAUUUCUUGCACUACUGGGAUCAUAAAAUUGAACAUGCUCUACUUGAUCUUGGUGCCAGUGUUAAUUUGCUUCCCUACUCAGUUUACCAACAACUCAAUCUCGGUGUGUUAAAACCAACUUCUACCACUCUUUUACUUGCUGAUAGAUCGAUUAAAGUUCCAAGAGGAAUAAUUGAAGAUGUAUUAGUCCAAGUCGAUAAAUUCAUAUAUCCUGUGGAUUUUAUUAUUUUGGAAACGGAACUAAUUGCUAAUGAAUGCAAACAAAUUCUUGUUAUAUUGGGUCGACCAUUUUUAGCUACUGCUAAUGCUUUGAUAAAUUGCAUUCAUUGUUGUAACACAAGUAGUAAAUGGGUAAGUCCAACACAAGUAGUACCAAAGAAAUUUGGAAUAAUUGUUAUAAAAAAUGAAAAAGGUGAACCAAUCCCAACACGAAUUCCAUCUAGUUGGCGCAUGUGCAUUGAUUACAGAAAAUUAAAUGAUGCCACUAGAAAAGAUCAUUUUCCCCUUCCAUUUCUAGACCAAAUUCUCGAAAGAGUAGCUGGACAUCCCUACUAUUGCUUUCUUGAUGGCUACUCUGGCUAUUAUCAAAUCCCUAUAGCCUUAGAAGACCAGGAAAAGACCACAUUCACAUGCACAUUCGGAACAUUUACAUUUAGGAGAAUGCCCUUUGGACUUUGUAAUGCUCCUGCAACAUUUCAAAGGUGCAUGCUAAGUAUUUUUAGUGACAUGAUUGAAAAUUGUCUAGAGGUUUUUAUGGAUGAUUUAAUUGUAUUUGGUAAUUCUUUUGAUACAUGUCUUGAUAAUUUAGAAAAUAUUUUGGAAAUGUGCAAAGAAAAAGGACAAGUUUUAAAUUGGGGAAAAUGUCAUUUCAUGACCACUUCUGGAAUUGUAUUGGGCCAUGUUGUGUCUUCAAAAGGAAUUGAAGUUGACAAAGCCAAAGUUGAAGUCAUUUCAAAAUUACCCUCACCAAAGACAAUUAGAGAAGUCCGUUCCUUUUUAGGACAUGCAGGAUUUUAUAGGAAAUUUAUAAAAAACUUUAGUGCCAUAUCUAGACCACUUUGUAACCUCCUAAUAAAAGACACACCUUUUGAAUGGACUAAAGAUUGUCAACAAGCUUUUGAAAAAAUAACUACUCUUUUGACAUCAGCCCCAAUAAUGCAACCCCCUGAUUGGUCUUUACCUUUUGACCUAAUGUGUGAUGCUAGUGAUUAUGUUGUUGGCGCUGUUCUAGGUCAAAGAAAGGAAGGUAAGCCCUUUGUCAUCUAUUAUGCAAGUAGAACUUUGACUAGUGCUCAAACGAAUUACACUACAACUGAGAAACAACUACUUGCUGUAAUAUUUUCAUUGGAUAAAUUUUGUUCGUAUUUAAUUUGUUCAUCCACUAUUGUUUAUUCUGAUCAUGCUGUUGUGAGAUAUUUAUUAUCAAAACAAGAUGUCAAACCAAGGUUGAUACGAUGGAUUUUACUACUUCAAGAAUUUAACUUGACAAUUAAGGACAAAAAGGGCGCUGAAAAUGUUGUUGCAGAUAAUCUUUCAAGACUUACGAAUGAGUUUUCAAUUGAAACAACACCCAUCAAUGAUUCUUUCCCUAAUGAAUUUUUAUUUUCUAUAAACAAAAUGUCUUGGUUUGCUAAUAUUGUUAAUUAUCUUGCAACAGGUGAAAUGCCAUGUGACUGGAGUUCCCAGGAUAAGAAGAAAAUCUUAACAGAAGUGAGAAACUUUUACUGGGAUGAUCUAUACCUGUUCAAGUACUGCUCUGAUCAAAUUUUUUGAAGAUACAUACCAGACGACGAGGUAAGUAUGGUCAUUCAAUUUUGUCAUUCUGAAGCAUGCGGUGGCCAUUUUUCUUCAAAAAAGACAGCUGUAAAAAUAUUACAGUGUGGAUUUUAUUGGCCUACAUUAUUUAAAGAUUCACAUGCAUUCUGUAAAAUGUGUAAGAAUUGUCAAAUGGUAGGGUCUAUUUCACAGCCAAACAUGAUGCCUUUAAACCCCAUCCUUGUCAUUGAAAUAUUUGAUUGUUGGGGAAUUGAUUUUAUGCGCUCUUUUCCAUCAUCAUUUGGAUUUGUAUACAUUUUGGUUGUUGUUGAUUAUGUUUCAAAAUGGAUCGAGGCGAUUCCUUGUCGGCACAAUGAUUACAAGAUUGUGAUCCGCUUUUUAAAAGAAAAUCUUUUGAGCAGAUUUGGAAUACCUCGAGCCAUCAUCAGUUAUGAAGGUAAACAUUUUUGUAAUAAGCCAUUUGAGUCCUUAAUGAAGAAUUAUGGAAUUACACAUAAAGUUGCUACCCCUUAUCACCCUCAAACAAGUGGUCAAGUUGAAUUAGCAAAUAGAGAGAUAAAACAAAUUUUAGAAAAAACAAUUAAUCCAAACCUUAAAAAUUGGUCUCUUCGACUAACUGAUGCACUUUGGGCAUAUCGUACUACUUUUAAAACAUCUUUAGGAAUGUCAUCCUAUCGGCUUGUUUAUGAAAAAUCUUACCACUUACUUGUUGAACUUGAACAUAAAUCAUUUUGGGUCAUUAAAGCUUUUCAUUCAAAUCUUAAUGAUGCUGGUAAUGUAUGUAAAUUGCAAUUAAAUGAACUUGAGGAAUUAAGGAAUGAUGCAUAUGAGAAUUCCAGAAUUAUUAAGGCAAGAACCAAAUUUUUUCAUAACAAAAGAAUUUUUCGGAAAACAUUUGAAAUUGGUCAAAAAGUGUUGCUUUAUAAUUCUCGUCUUCAUUUAUUUCCAGGAAAGUUAAGGUCAAAGUGGAAUGGUCCAUUUGUUGUAAAAAAUGUAUCCAUAUGGAGCCGUAGAAAUUGAGAAUCCAAAGGGUUGUGUCACAUUUAAAGUUAAUGGUCAAAGAUUGAAACCAUAUCUGGAAUACCAACCACGUGAAGCAAAUACCGAAAUCAAUUUGAGUGACCCACCAAAUUUUGAUUAAGCCUUUUCAUUUUUAACUUUUUGUGAAUUUGAUUUACUGUUACUUUAUCGUUUGAUUUUUUUUCUUUUUCCUUUUCCUUAUGUCUUGAAUAGAGUGCAUUGCAUUGUUUUAAUUGUGUGUUGUUUGACAAUUGUAAUUUAGCUCACCAACUUUUUAUACUUGUCAUGAGUACCUCCAUGAGAAAUUUUCUUUUCAAUCAUCUUAAAACGCUUUUACAUGUAAAAUUUCACUUGAGGAAAUUGCUCCGAUUUUGUAAAUCAUAUCCCAUUUGGGAUCUACAACCACCAGAGUUAGUAUCCGACGUGAAAGAUCUAGAAAGAUAACUCAAGGAAAUAGAGGAUGGUAUUUAUAAUCUGCAAUUGGAACUGGAGGUAAAUUCAAUAAAAAGACGAAGGUGAGUUAUAUUCCUUGUGUGUUUUUGUUUUAUUUUGUUCUUCUUCUUUGCUUUUGAUUUGAUUUUGCAAAUUUGAUUCGUUUUGUUUUGAUUUACUCUCCCGUAUAAAUGGCGGAUAACAGUACUCCGUGACUUUUUAAGUCGGUAUUCUCAGUUUCCCACAAUAACUGAAACCUCAAUGUCAAGCAUGGAAGAAAUACAACGAAAUUUGCAUCAAUGUUUUCCUUCUCUCCCUCAAAAUGCUCUUAAGAAUAUUUACAAAGCUCGUUGUGAACGACUGCAUUUGUUAAUGAUCAAUGGGAUUCUUGCUGACAUUUGCUGGUUAAUUGAAGCAAAGGUCCGAUUGGCAGGUGAGUUUUCUGAUCAUUCAUUUCCUACAUGCCUGGUUUUGGUAAAAGUACAUUUGCUAAGAAAAGAAGAGCUAAGCGAUUUGGCUCUGAAUGUUCUCACUGUGUAAGACUUGCUUGCAAAAAGCCACGUUGUAAAGCUUUAGGAAUGGUUUCUAUAAAUCGUGAAGAUAAAAUCAAAUUCGUUAAGGAUGGCAUGAGUAAAGAAUCGUUGGAUGAUAUCUUACGAUCUCUUGAGACGCAUCCGAGCGGAUAUGUUCAACGUGAAAUUCAAAAUUUGUGGAAGUUGUUCCAAAAGGAAAGUGCACAGUUUAGUCUUGGAAAUCUGACUCUAAAAGACCAUGUUUGUCAGUUUAUAAGAAAACUGGAUGGGAAGCAUAUCCUCGACCCAUAGAGGGCGUUAAAGCCGUUACUGGACGUAAAACCAGAGGAAGAUGUGAGCCACAAUAACAACUACUAGUAAAUAUCCUUUUAUUUACUCUUUACAAAGAAUGACAUAGGUCCGCUCUUUCCAAAGAAUAAUCAACGUCCACUCUUUACAAAGAAUUACCAACGUCCACUCUUUACAAAGAAUGACAUAGGUCCACUCUUUAAAAAGAAUGUCUUAGGUCCACUCUUUAUAAAGAAUGACCUAGGUCCAAUCUUUACAAAGAAUGACAUAAGUCCACUAUUUACAAAGAAUGAUCUAUGUCCACUUUUUACAAAGAAUAAACAAAGUCCACUCUUUACAAAGAAUGACCAAUGUCUACUCUUUACAAAAAAUGACCAAAAUCCUCUCUUUAUAAAAAAUGAAUAAGAUCUAUUCUUUACAAAGAAUAAUCUAGGGUCAUUCUUUACAAAGAAUGACUUAGGUCCAUUCUUUAUAAAGAAUGGGGAAUGACUUAGGAACUUAGAAAAUAUUUCUAAGUAAAACACUCAAAUGACGAAUAUUCGAUAAAGUGCCAAAGACAAGAUUUAAUAAAGAGCGACUUAGGUCCGUUCUUUACAAAGGACGACCUAGGUCAAUUCCUAACAAAUGACGACCUAGGUCCAUUCGUAACAAAGAACGAUCUAGGUCCAUUCUUAACAAAGAAAAACCUAAGUUCAUUCUUAAUAAAGAACGACAUAGGUCUAUUCCUAAUAAAAAACGAUAUAGGUCUAUUCCUAAUAAGGAGCAACCUAGGUUCAUUCUUAAUAAAGAACGACUUAUGUUCAUUCCUCACAAAGAACGACCUAGGCAUUUAGAAAAAUAUUUCUAGAUAAAAUACCUAAAGGGCAAGUCUUCGACAGAGGGCUAAAGGCAUGAUUCAAAAAAGAAUAACCCAGACGUUUAGAAAAUAUUUCUAAGUAAGAGCACGUGUUAAGGAUAAGGUUAGUAUUAGCUCAGCAAUAUUCAUUACGUCAGUUAAAUAAUAGAUUCACAAUAUACAAAAAUAUCAAGUUUCAUUGAAUUUCUCUUUCUCUCUGUUAUGAUUUUCCCUUAGUUUUUCUUAGUAACCAAACACUAUUAUUGAUCUUUAACUUGGUAUCAAAGCCAAGAACACUGAUUCUCAUGGCUACACUAAGCUUGAAUACAAACGUUUUAUCCUCGAUCUCAUCUUAUACAUUCACAACUCCGAUCAAACUUGAUCGUUCCAACUAUACAAUCUGAAAAUCAUAAAUUAUUUUCUCAGUGAAAGCUAAUGAACUUGAAAACCUCCUCGAUGGCUCACGAGCUUGUCCAGAUAAGUUUCUUGCUGUUAAUCCAACAAAUUCUGAUGUUGUUGCACAAGAGAAUCUUGCUUAUGUUGUAUGAAAGAAACAAGAUCAAAUGUUGCUGAGUUGGUUAUUGUCCUCCAUCACUGUCGAGAUUCUGAGUCUUGUGGUAACAUCUAAAACUUCUCAUGAACUCUGGACUAGUUUAGAACAAUAAUUUAGUUCUGAAAUUGAUGUUAAGAAAGUUCAUUUAAAAAUGAUGUUAAAUGAUCUAAAGAAAGGAUCUCUAUCUGUUACUUAUUAUUUUAGCAAAUUAAGAUCAGUGACUGGUGAGUUGGCUACUGCUGGUAGUCCAAUUAGCUCUUCAGAUUUCAUCACACACUGAAUCUCUGGCCUAGGGCAACCUUACUAUCCAGUUGUUGUGUAUAUUGAAGCUAAUAUUCUUAAGAUGAGCAUUAAUGAGGCCUAUUCCAUGCUCUUGAUUCGUGAAACUAGGUUAUAGAAUGCACAAUCUAGUGCUUGUAAAGAGGCAAAACUGAACUAUGCAGCUAAUGUAGCUCAGACUAAAAACAUACAGAAGAAGUCAGGCAAUAAUAGAAAUUGGAAUAAUAAUAACAAUAAUAAUCAAAGGAACUGGAAUAGAAAUUAUGCCAAUACGAAUGGAAAUGGUAGCUGGAGUAGUAACAAAGGAGGUUAUGGAUCAGGAAGAGGUGCAUAUAUAGGACAAAACUCUGGAAGAUGAUGGAAUGGUAAUCAUGGGAGAGGUGGUUUCACUGGUAAUGGUGGUUUCAAUAGUAACAAUGGUGGUUUUGCUGGUGUCUUUCCUGGAUUUUGGAAGAGGAGGUGGUAGAAAAUUUAUAAUUUGUCAGAUCUGUUUUAAGCAUAACCAUUCUGCAGCUGAGUGCAGGGACGGGUUCAAUAGAAACUUUGUUCCAAAUCUUCCAGUGAAUGGCCAUUAUCUUAAUCAAAAUCAAUCUUCCAAAGCUGCUUACAUGGCUACUUCAGAAGGCAUUGCUGAUCAAGGAUGGUACCUGGAUAGUGGAGCAACUCAUCAUCUUACAAAUAAUGUGUAGAAUAUUGCUGAAGGUAAACCCUAUAUUGGUUCUCAGUUGCUACUGGUUAGUAAUGGUGAAGAGUUUAACAUUACACAUAUUGGUUGCACAUGAUUUCAUACUUUUUUUUUAACCUCAUUAAACCUGAAUAAUGUCUUAUGUGUACCAAAAAUCACUAAAAACCUUAUUAGCAUUUCCAAACUUCUAUCAAACAAUAACAUAAUCAUUGAAUUUUCUUCUAAUUUGUGUUUUGUUAAGGACAAGAUGGAGGGAAUAUUGCUAGCACAGGGGAUUGCUAAAGGUGGCCUCUACAAACUACUAUCACAAGACGAUUCUGAUAUUGUCUUCAAGUCUGAAAGUCUUAGUUUAAAGCCUAGCUCAAUGCUGUCAGUUCUUCAAAAUAAAGGAUUUGUAAACUCUUUACAAAAAUCUAGCAGUCUUAUGUCUGUCAGCCCAGCUUCUUUUCAUUCCAAUAAUCUAGAGUUAAAUAACUCUAAUCCUGAAAGUUUUCUUACUUCAAUUCAGUUGUUACAUAACAGGUUUGGGCAUCCAAAUAAACAUGUUUUACAAACAAUAAUAAGAAAGCUUCAUUUGCAUCAUAUUUCAAAUCAAUCUCUUCAAUUAUGUGAUGCUUGUCAAUGUGGAAAACUGCAUCAGUUUCAUUUUCCUGUUACUGAAACAAAAUCCAGAUCUCCACUUGAAUUACUAUAUACUGAUUUAUGGGGUCCAGCUUCUGAGUGUUCUAUGGAUGGUUACAAAUAUUACAUUUCUUUUGUUAACGAUUUCACUAGAUAUAGCUGGAUUUUCCCUCUCACUCUUAAAUCAGAAGCACUUGAUACCUUUAAACAUUUCAAAACUCUUGUUGAAAAAUAGUAUUAUUUGCCUAUUAAAGCCUUGCAAUCAGACAUGGGGGGUGAUUUUAUAGAUUUCAAAACAUUUCUUCAACAAGAAGGUAUUCAGUUUAGAUUUAGUUGUCCAUACACUCACCAUCAAAAUGGUACCGUUGAAAGAAAACACAGGCAUAUAGUGGAAACUGGUCUUACUCUUCUUGCUCAGUCACAUUUACCUAUAUCUUUUUUGUGGGAGGCAUUUCAUACGGGCUCUUAUCUUAUCAAUAGGAUGCCUACACAAGUUCUAGGAAAUUUCUCUCAUUUUCAUAAACUACAUAAUCAGUUGCCUGGUUGUAUGUUUCUCAAAGUGUUUGGUUAUUCUUGUUUCCCUCUACUCAGGCCAUACAAUCAGCAUAAACUUGACUUCCAUACUAAAAAAUGUGUUUUUAUUGGCUACAGUCCACUUUAUAACGGAUAUAAAUGUCUGGAUAGAUCUGGAAGAGUCUUUGUUGCAAGGCAUGUUACAUUCAAUGAAACAGAAUUUCCAUAUUCUGAGUUGUUCUCAAAACAUGCAUCUUCUACUUUAUAUGAGUCUAAUUCAAUUCCUUCAUCUCCUGUUCAAAUCUAUUUCUUUCAAAAUUCUACUUCUUCUGACAGUAGUAAUGGAGGAUCACCUACUGCUAUCUUUGCUCCAACAAUGUCUCAUGUAUCUACCCCUUCUUCAGCACAACAAUCCUCUUUAAAUUCAUCACCCAACCAUUCUUAUAUUCCACCUUCUUCCAUUGAAUCUCCUCAACCUGUACAGUCUUUGCAACCUUUACAACCCAUACAUCCAAUGAUUACCAGAGCUAAAGCUGUAAUUUUCAAGCCCAAAACCUAUAUUAUUGUUACUCAAAAUCUUGAACCAACCAAUUUUAAGGCUGCUCUACAAGAUUCCAAAUGGUAUCUGGCAAUGAAAGAAGAGUUUGAAGCAUUACAGAAAAAUAAUACCUGGACAUUGGUACCUCCACAUGCAGCUGCAAAAAUAGUUAGGAAUAAAUGGUUGUAUAGAGUCAAGUAUAAUCCAGAUGGAAGUAUAGCUAAAUACAAAGCUCGUUUGGUGGCUAAAGGCUUUCAUCAAACCCAUGGAAUUAAUUUCUUUGAAACUUACAGUCUAGUAGUAAAAUCUUGCACAAUCAGAAUAGUUUUAAGCUUGGUUGUUAUGCAUCACUGGUCUAUAAGGCAAUAGGAUGUGAAUAAUGCAUUUUUGAAUAGUUUAUAUACAGAGGAUGUUUUUAUGCAUUAGCCUGAAGGUUUUCUGGAUCCUCAAUAUCCUUCUUAUAUUCACAAACUAAACAAAGCUUUAUAUGGAUUAAAGCAAGCUUCAAGAGCCUGGUAUGACAAGUUGAAGAGUUCUCUGCUAGAAUGGGGUUUUCAAACAUCCAAGGCAGAUACUUCUUUUUUUUUUAAAGCAUGUUGGUGAUGAUAUUUUGCUUAUACUUGUCUAUUUUGAUGAUAUUAUGAUUACUAGAUCAAACUCUCAGUUUCUUCAAGCUGUUAUUCAGCAUCUGCAUUCUGACUUUGCUCUUAAAGAUCUUGAUGAAUUCAAUUAUUUUCUUGGAAUUGAAGUCACUCAAUCUAUUGAUGGUUUGCAUCUCUCUCAAACUAAAUAUAUUUGUGAUAUUCUUAAAAAGGCCAAUAUGAUGUAGAGUAAAGGGUAUUCCACUCCUAUGAGUACUAGUGAUAAGCUCUAUAAGGAUAAAUAUGUUGCCUUUGAUAAUCUUUCUAUAUAUCGAAGCAUUGUUGGUUCUCUACAAUAUCUUCUUUUAACAAGACCUGAUAUAGCUUAUGUUGUUAAUAAGCUCAGUCAGUUCAUAAAGCCCCAACAGUUCUUCAUCGGCAAGCCUGCAAUAGGGUCCUUAGACAUCUCCAAAGCACGGCUCACUUUGAAAUCCAGUUCUUUCAUUCAAGUUCCUUAACCUUGAUUGCUUAUUCUGAUGCAGAUUGGGGAUCUGAUCUCGAUGAUAGAAGGUCUGUUGGUGGGUAUUGUGUGUUUUUAGUUCAUAAUCUCAUCUUCUAGUCUUCCAAAAAACAGCCUAUAGCAUCUAAAUCUUCAGCAGAAUCUGAGUAUCGUGCUCUGGCCUUAACUACAUCAGAGGUCUUGUGGAUUACUUACUUGCUUCAAGAACUUAAAGUGUCUCUUACUCAAACUCCAGUUUUACUCUGUGAUAAUCAAAGUGCAGAGGCCUUAGCUAGUAAUCCAAAAUUUCACUCUCGUACAAAGCAUAUUAAAUUGGAUCUCCACUUUGUUAGAGAGCACAUUGUAAAGAAGCAGCUUAUUGUUCAUCAUGUUUCCAGUUCUGACCAACUAGCUGAUGUUCUUACUAAACCCCCCCCCCCUUGAUCAUUUUACCUUUCUUCACAGCAAGCUUAAUGUCUUUCCUCGACCUUAAGUUUGAGGAAGGGUGUUAAGAAUAAGCUCAGCAUUAGCUCAGCAAUAUUCAUUAAGUCAGUUAAACAACAGUCUUUGGUGAUGUGGCUGCCGAGUCAGCGAGGUUGUUAUUAGUUUGUUAUUAACAGAGUCAGACUUGGCUCAUGCAUUUCGUGUGUUUAGAAAGUUCGAGACAUUAGUAUAAAUUAGCCUUGUAAAUUAGAUUCACAAUAUAAAAAAAUAUCAAGUUUCAUUGAAUUUCUCUUUCUCUCUAGUUAUGAUUUUCUCUUAGUUUUUCUUAGUAACCAAACACUAUUAAUCAGAGAAAUUGAUCUUUAACUACACGUGAACUGCUAAGCAUUCUACGGAGUGCGCCUAUGGGUAAAUAUACAUUUUACAGAAUGCGCCUACGAGCAAAUACACAUUCUACAGAAUGUGCCUACGGGCAAAUACACAUUCUACGGAAUGCGCCUACGGGCAAAUACACAUUCUACGGAAUGCGCCUCCGGGCAAAUACAUAUUCUACGGAAUGCGCCUCCGGGUAAAUACACAUUCUACGGAAUGCACCUACGAAUAAAUACAUAUUCUACAGAAUGUGCCUACGGGUAAAUAUACAUGUUACGGAAUGCACCUACGGGCAAAUAUACAUUCUACGGAAUGAGCCUAUAGGCAAAUACACAUUCUACGGAAUGGGCCUCCAGGCAAAUCCACAUUUUACAGAAUGAACCUCUAGGCAAAUUCGUACCGAGCAAAUACAUAUUCUAUGAAAAGCACUUACGAACAAAUACACAUUCUACAAAAUGUGCCUACGAUAAAUAUACAUUCUACGAGAUGCGCCUAGAGGCAAAUAUAUGUAUUCUAAGGAAUACAUCAACGGGCCAAUAGACAUUUUACGAAACAAGUUUCCAGAUUAACAAACAUUCUGCGGAAUGUGCUUACGAGCAAAAUGUUAAAAAUCAAUCCUCUUUGUAAGGAACCAAUAUAAGUGCUGAAUUUAAGCUAAAGUCCAUUUAAAGUUAAGUGCCCAAAAACAUGACAAAUGUCCAAAGAUUACUUGUCAUGAACAAGUAUUGACAUAUAUGAAUAUGUGUCUCCAUGCAUGCGUUUUUGCUGACACUUGUCACAAGAAAAAUGCCAUAUAACCUCUCUAAUUGACUAUGAGUUGCUUAUAUAAAGUCCAAGAGUCCUCAUUUGAAGGUAAGAGAAAAAAGGGUAAAGAAAUGUUGUCAUUCUCUCUUUAGAUUCUCUCUCUAUAAUCAAAUUUGAAAGGUUGACUUGAGCGUCGGAGGGUUAUCAUCAGGUAUCCUUUGAUAAUUGUUUCUUUUUGCAGAACAAUUAACCACAAUGAGACAUGUGAUUUGAGACACUCGCCUCAAGGAAAAAAAUAAGAUGCAAAACUUGAUUUAGAAAAAAGUCUGAAACACAAAUCAAUCGUUGUACAUUGAGCAAAAAUUUGCAUUAAUAGUUGGCGCCAUCUGUGGGGACUUGAACAAAAAGCCAAAAUGGUUUAUCUUGGGCAUCAAUGAUUACAACUACUUUGAUCUUGUGGCUAGUGAUUAAAGUUUAAUGGAGGCAAAGAUCCAUUUCCAACAAAAAAUAUUCUUGGUUGAGUCGGGUAGUGAAUCGACAGUUGUAUCUGGUAAAUUUUUUAAAAAACUACUUAUACGCUAUAGCAAAAACCACCUAUCCUAUAGUAGAUUUUGAAAAGUAGCAUUUAAAAAUAUGAUUUUGAGAAUUAGUUUUAUACUUAAUAUAAUGUAUACAUCGUCAUAGAUAUCAUAAAAAUAUGAAAUUAUUCUUAUUAAUUAAAGAACAAAAUCAUUAACUUCAAAGAGAUUAUUAUUGUUGCUCAUUAUUGAGAUAACAAAAUAAAAAAUAAAAUUAAUAAUAUAAAAUAUUUAUCUUAGUUAUCAAUGAUUAUAUAUACACAAUAAAAAAUAUUUUAUAUACAUAUUUAUAAAUGUGUAAAUAAAUUUUAUUUAACAUUAUGUCAAAUUUAGUCAUUUAUAUUCUUAUAGUAAUUUAUCAACAGGAUUUACCAAACACAUAUAAGUGCUUUUAAAACUCACAGCACUUUUAAAAUAUAAAUUUUACUAAACGUUUAACUAAUUCUCUUCACAACUGAUUAUUUUUAUAGAACAGCUAACAACAAUUACUUUAAAAGUUAUAGUAUUAGUAAACUGACCCUUAGUCAAUUUCUUAAAAAUUUUACAUUUGAACCCUUUAUGUUAUGGAAGUUUUAUUAUAUCCAUAUCCUCUCAACGAGAACUAUUCACAAUUUUAUUAUUUAAAAUUUAUUCGAAUGGGUCUAACAUAGAGCUAAUAUAGGAUAUUCAUGAAGAUUUCGGAACGUAAAUAUUACUAUAUAAUUAUGAAUGGCUUAUUCGACAUGAUAUCAUAAUAUAUUAAUUUUUUUUGUUUAAAAAGCCUUAUUAUUAUAUGAAAAGUAAAACUUAAAUCUUUCUACACAACAUGAAAAGUACAGUUAUGUAGCCAAACUUCAACGACAAAGAGAGAGGUUAGCCACAAAUUAUAAAAAAGUGUACAACUAAUUUUGAAAUUCACCCGACUAAAGAAAAAAACUUAUGUUGUAAUUGUACCGGUGGCCAACAAGCGGCUUAAUCGUUGAAAUAGAGUGUCUUGACAAAACGCUUAAGAGUGUGUCUCGUUGUAUCUUCCAAAUGGCAAGUCAUCGACAAAACGCUAAGGUGUAAUUCAUUAUACAUUAAUGACCUAGGUCCUUAGAAAAAUUCUAAGUAAAAUGCCCGAAUGGUACGUAGUCGACAAAACGCCAAGGCGUAAUUCAUUAUACAUUAAUGACCUAGGUUAAUUUCCACAAAAGUGACCUAGGUCUUUAGAAGAAAUUUCUAAGUAAAGCGCCCAAAAAGCGAGUCUUCGACAAAACGUGGGGGCUCGAAUGGAAAAAAAUGACCUAGGUCAAUUUUCACAAAAAAGACCUAAGUCCUUAUAAGAAAUUUCUAAGUAAAGCGCCCAAAAGGUGAGUUUUCGAUAAAAUGCCGAGGGCAUGACUUUAAAAAAAAUGACAUAUGUCAAUUUUCAUAAAAGUGGCCUAGAUCCUUAGAAGAAAUUUCUAAAUAAAGUGCCCAAAAGGCGAGUCUUCGACAAAAUGCCGACGGCAUGACGUAAAAAAAAAAAAGACCAAGGUCAAUUUUCACGAAAGUGACCUAGGUUCUUAGAAGAAAUUUCUAAACAAAACGCUCAAAAGGCUAGUCUUCGGCAAAACGCCGAGGGCGUGAAUGGAAAAAAAUGACCUAGGUCAAUUUUCACAAAAGUGACUUAGGUCCUUAGAAGAAAUUUCUAAAUACAGCGCCCAAAAGGCAAAUCUUUGACAAAAUGCCGAGGGCGUGACUUAAAAAAAAAUGACCUACGUCAAUUUUCACGAAAGUGACCUAGGUCCUUAGAAAAAUUUUCUAAACAAAGCGCCCAAAAGGCGAGUCUUCGACAAAACACCGACGACGUGACUUAAAAAAAAUUACCAAGGUCAAUUUUCAUGAAAGUGACCUAGGUCCUUAGAAGAAAUUUCUAAAUAAAGCACCCAAAAGGCAAGUCUUCGACAAAACGCCAAAGGCGUAAAUUAAAAAAAAAAAGUGACCCCGGUCAAUUCUCAUAAAAGACCUAGGUACUUAGAAAAAAUUUCUAAUUAAAACGCCCAAAGGGCGAGUUUUCAAUAAAACGCUGAGGGCAUAACUUAAAAAAAAAGAAAGUGACCUAGGUCAAUUCUUACAAAAUGAUCUAGGUUCUUGGAAGAAAUUUCUAAGUAAAGCACUUAAAAGGCGAGUUUUCGACAAAAUGCCGAGGGCACGACUUGAAAAAAAAAAAAGAAAAAUGAGCUAUGUCAAUUUUCACAAAAGUGACCUAGGUCUUUAGAAGAAAUUUCUAAGUAAAGCGGCAAAAAGGCAAGUCUUCGACAAAACGCCGAGGGCGUGACUUGAAAAAAAUAUGACCUUAGUCAAUUUUCACGAAAGUGACCUAAGUCUUUUAAAGAAAUUUCUGAAUAAAGCAUCCUAAAGGCGAGUAUAAGACAAAAUGCUAAGGUGUAAUUCAUAAUACAUGAACGACCUAGGUGUUUUUUCACAAGAUUGACCUAAGUCCUUAUAGGAAAUUUCUAAGUAAAACGCCCAAAAGGCGAGUCUAAGACAAAACGUCAAGGCAUAAUUCAUAAUACAUGAACGACCUAAAUAUAUUUUCUCAAGACUGACCUAGGUCCUUAUAAGAAAUUUCUUAGCAAAACGCCUAAAUGGCGAGUCAUAGAUAAAACGCCAAGGCAUAAUUCAUGAACGACCUAGGUCCGUUUUCACAAAAGUGACCUAGGUUCUUAGAAGGAAGUUCUAAGUAAAAUGCUCAAAUGGCGAGUUGUCGACAAAACGCCCGGGCAUAAUUCAUUAUACAUGAAUGACGUAGGUCUAAUUACUUAGAAUUAAUUUUCUAAGAAAAACACCUAUGGGGCGGAUUAUGAUAAAAGAAGACCUAGGUCUAAAUACUUAAAAUUAAAGUUCUGCGAAAUUGCCUAUGGGCGGAUUAUGAUAAAAAGAUCUAGGUCCUUUCUUUUAAAGAAUGAUCUGGGUCUAAUCACUUAAAAUUAGUUUUCAAAGAAAACCGCCCAUGAGUGAAUUUUGAUAAAAGAUCUGAGGGCAUUUGGUGCUUGGAAAAUAUUCCAAGUAAAACAUUAAAAGGCAAAUGAUUGUCUAAAACGCCUAAAGACAUGUUAAAUAAAAAUGUCCCAGAGAAUUAGUGUUGACGAGAAGAGCCUUAAGGCCAAUGUCAAAAAGCACAAGGGCAACUGUGGACUAAAUCUCCUAAGUGCGGAUGUUGAAUAAAACACCUAAUCUUAAGUUUUUAACAAACAGCAGUAGCUUAAGGGUCUAACUCUUCUCUUUUGGUAGGUAGGGUUUAUCUGUUGUAUAUUCGUGCCCAAUUUAUUUCUGUUUUCGUUUUAGCUUCAUCUUCCCAAGCGAAGUCCCAACUAAUAAGGUCUAGGGCGGCGCUUCAUUGUUUUAUUAUUAUUAUUUUUUUAGUUUUCGGUUUCUAGCUCUAUGGCUUAUGAUCUUGAAGCCAAAGCUACCGCCACCAGCAGUAGUGAUCAUCAUGUCAGAAGGGAAAAGAUUUCGUCCGGCGCAUCAGCAACAGCCUCGCGGAUCAGCAAGAAAAAAAAAAUCGAGAAGAAGAAGAAAAGGCAGAAAAGGUUUGGAGGAAUAUAUUACAAAUAUUAUGGAAGACUCCUGAAGAUGCAAUCAACGAUAAAUUUGAAUUGGAGUUAAUGCGGGGUGAAAACGUGAAAUUGAAACGGGAAAAUCAAAGACUUUCAAGUGAGCUUGAAGCAGCAUCAAUAGAAAACGAGAACAUAAAUAAGAGAAAAAAACAAAGGUGGGAUCAUUAGCGAACUAAGUUAGGUGCUUCAAGCCGCUAAUAUUAUUAAUUAAUGCAGUGGAUCAUGGAAUUAGUCUCAAUUUCUUGCAUGCUUCUAGCUAGAUAUUUCAAUUGAACUUUCCUUCAUUUAAUUGUGAUCUUUAUUUCUUUUAUUUAUUUUUAAUUGUUUUGUUUCUUAUCUGUACA
RNAcentral lists this long non-coding RNA (75774 nucleotides) under Citrus maxima (pomelo). Its description in RNAcentral is "long non-coding RNA (CMAX_LNC000768)". The record is from RNAcentral. Lineage: Eukaryota; Viridiplantae; Streptophyta; Magnoliopsida; Sapindales; Rutaceae.